Molecule: long non-coding RNA, 71046 nt
Filed under: Triticum aestivum (bread wheat)
Lineage: Eukaryota; Viridiplantae; Streptophyta; Magnoliopsida; Poales; Poaceae
Description: long non-coding RNA (TAES_LNC015939)
Rfam family: MIR1120/MIR1122 microRNA precursor family (bases 31016-31151)
Source: RNAcentral
UUUCUGAAAAGUCAAACGAAUUUCGAAAAAUCUGAACAUAUUUUGGAUAUUGAAAAUAGUUCAUCCAAUUUAAAAAAGUUCACUGGUUUUCAAAAAAAGUUCAUUGAAUUUGAAAAAAAAUUAAUCGAUUUUUGAAAAAGUUCAUGGAAUUUGGUGAGAAAAGUUCGUCGAUUUUGCAAAAGAAGGAAAAAACUAAAAAAAUCGUUCAUAGGAAAAAAAGAAACAAUAUAGAAACAAAAGGAUGAAAAGGCUCUGAGAAAACACGAAUACUAAGGUGGCGGACUGGCUAUGGCAGAACGCUUGUACUCUGGAGGACUCCAGUUCGAAUUUUGCCCCACGCAAGCAGUUUUUUGCAUUUUAGAAACAGCAAAAAAGAAGAAAGAAUGGGCCGGCCCAGUGCGGCGGGAGGGUGUGCGCCCGAAUGCAUAAAUAACUAAAACGGGCGCUUAAGGCGCCGUUUAGGAAUUGCCCUACGCCCCCCCCCCUCUGGUCCGAAUUGGACAAGGGGCAGCCCCCUUUUUCUUCUCCCUGUCCUCCUCUUUCCUUCUCUCCUACUCCAACAAGGAAAGGAGGAGUCCUACUCCCGGUGGGAGUAGGACUCCCCCCUUGGCGCGCCUCCUCCCUAGGCCGGCCUCCUCCCCCCUUGAUCAUUUAUAUACGGGGGCAGGGGGCACCCCAUAGACACAACAACAAUUAAUCCCUUGGAUCUCUUAGCCGUGUAUGGUGCCCCCCUCCACCAUAAUCCACCUCGAUAAUAUCGUAGCGGUGCUUAGGCGAAGCCCUGCAACGGUAGAACAUCAAGAUCGUCACCAUGCCAUUGUGCUGAUAGAACUCUCCUUCGACACUCGGCUGGAUCAGAGUUCAAGGGACGUCAUCAAGCUGAACAUGUGCUAGAACUCGGAGGUGCCGUAGUUUCGGUGCUUGAUCGGUCGGGCCGUGAAGACGUACGACUACAUCAACCGCGUUGUUCUAAUGCUUUUGCUUUCGGUCUACGAGGGUAUGUAGACAACACUCUCCCCUCUCAGUGCUAUGCAUCACCAUGAUCUUGCAUGUGCAUAGGAUUUUUUUUGAAAUUACUACGUUCCCCAACACAAUGUCGGUGUCAAAACUGGCGGAUCUCGGGUAGGGGGUCCCGAACUGUGCGUCUAGGUGGAUGGUAACAGGAGACAAGGGACACGAUGUUUUUACCCAGGUUCGGGCCCUCUCGAUGGAGGUAAAACCCUACUCCUGCUUGAUUAAUAUUGAUGAUAUGGGUAGUACAAGAGUUGAUCUACCACGAGAUCAGAGAGGCUAAACCCUAGAAGCUAGCCUAUGGUAUGAUUGUUGUUCGUCCUACGGACUAAAAACCCUCCGGUUUAUAUAGACACCGGAGAGGGCUAGGGUUACACAGAGUCGGUUACAUUGGGAGGAGAUCUACAUAUCGUAUCGCCAAGCUUGCCUUCCACGCCAAGGAAAGUCCUGUCCGGACACGGGACGAAGUCUUCAAUCUUGUAUCUUCAUAGUCCGGGAGUCCGGCCAAAGGUCAUAGUCCGGCCAUCCGGACACCCCCUAAUCCAGGACUCCCUCAGACAUCAUAGAUCGCACCAUAUCCAAUAAAGUGCGGUUAUGACGUUCAGACACACCAUUACGCUGUGGUGUUCCAGGUGGUGUGAGCUGUGAAACUAUUCCACAUUGUUUUAAAUGAAGGCCAAACUCGUAACUCAAAUAUUAUCCUCCACGAUCAGAUCGUAGAAACUUUAUUUUCUUAUUAUGAUGAUUCUCCACUUUACUCUGAAAUUCUUUGAACUUUUAAAAUGUUCCAGAUUUGUGUUUCAUUAAGUAGAUAUACCCAUAUCUGCUCAAAUCAUCUGUGAAUGUCAGAAAAUAACGACCCCCGCCACGAGCAUCAACACUCCUUGGACCGCAUACAUCGGUAUGUAUUAUUUUCAAUAGGUCACUAGCUUGUUCCAUUGUUCCAGAGAACGGAGUUUUAGUCAUCUUACCCAUAAGGGACAGUUCGCAAGUAUCAAAUGAUUCAUAAUCAAGUGAUUCCAAAAGUCCAUCUUUAUGGAGUUUGUUCAUGUGCUUUACACCGAUAUGACCCAAACGAUAGUGCCGCAAAUAAGUUGCACUAUCAUUAUCAACUUUGCAUCUUUUGGCAUCAAUAUUAUGAAUAUGUAUCUCAUCACGAUCAAGAUUCAACAGAAAUAGACCACUCUUCAAGGGUGCAUAACCAUAAAAGAUAUUACUUAUAUAAAUAGAACAACCAUUAUUCUCUGAUGUAAAUGAAUAACCAUCUCGCACUAAACAAGAUCCAGAUAUAAUGUUCAUGCUCAAUGCUGGCACAAAAUAACAAUUAUUCAGGUCUAAAACUAAUCCCGAAGGUAGAUGUAGAGGUAGCGUGCCGAUGAUGAUCACAUCGACCUUGGAACCAUUUCCGACGUGCAUCAUCACCUCGUCCUUAUCCAAUCUUCGUUUAAUCCGUAGGCCCUGCUUCGAGUUACAAAUAUGAGCAACCAAACUAGUAUCAAAUACCCAGGCACUAGUACGAGAAUUAGUAAGGUACACAUCAAUAACAUGUAUAUCAAAUAUACCUUUGCUCACUUUGCCAUCCUUCUUAUCUGCAAAAUACUUGGGGCAGUUCCGCUUCCAGUGACCAGUCCCUUUGCAGAAGAAGCAGUCAGUUUCAGGCUUGGGUCCAUUUUUAGGUUUCUUCUCGGGAGUGACAACUUGCUUGUCAUUCUUCUUGAAGUUCCCCUUCUUUUGACCCUUGCCCUUCUUCUUGAAACUAGUGGUUUUGUUAACCAUCAACACUUGAUGCUCCUUCUUGAUUUCUACCUCCACGGUAUGUAGCAUCGCAAAGAGCUCGAGAAUAGUAUUUUCCAUCCCUUGCAUAUUGUAGUUCAUCACGAAGCCUUUGUAGCUUGGUGGCAGUGAUUGAAGAACUCUGUCAAUGAAACAAUCAUCUGGAAGAUUAACUCCUAGCUGAGUCAAGUGAUUAUGGUACCUAGACAUUCUGAGUAUGUGCUCACUAAAAGAACUGUUUUCCUCCAUCUUGCAGCUAUAGAACUUGUUGGAGACUUCAUAUCUCUCAACUUGGGCAUUUGCUUGAAAUAUUAACUUCAACUCCUGGAAUAUCUCAUAUGGUCCAUGUCGUUAAAAACGUCUUUGAAGUCCCAAUUCUAAGUCGAAAAGCAUGGCACAAUGAACUAACGAGUAGUCAUCAACACGCGACUGCCAAACAUUCACAAUGUCUGUAGUUGUUGUGGCAGGUGGUACACCUAGUGGUGCAUCAAGGACAUAAUUCUUCUGUGCAGCAAUGAGGAUAAUCCUCAAUUUACGGACCCAGUCCGUGUAGUUGCUACCAUCAUCUUUCAACCUAGCUUUCUCUAGGAAUGCAAUGAAAUUCAAAGGAACGGUAGCACGGGCCAUUGAUCUACAACAUAGAUAUGCAAAAAACUAUCAUGACUAAGUUCAUGAUAAAUUAAGUUCAAUUAAUCAUAUUACUUAAGAACUCCCACUUAGAUAGACAUCCUUCUAGUCAUAUAAAUGGUACGUGAUCCAAAUCAACUAAACCAUGUCCGAUCAUCACGUGAGAUGGAGUAAUCUUCAAUGGUGAACAUCACUAUGUUGAUCAUAUCACUACAAAAAAAAGACACAUCCGUGACAUUUUGGGCCAAACGAAAUUUUUUUCUGUCAUACAUGUGACACUUCUAGGAUGAUAGUUGUGACAAAACCCGGUAUCAUCAUAGAUGUGGUGGGCUCCUACUUCUAUGACAAAAAAUCAUGAAAGAAAAUGGGCUUUUCGUCCUGGACGGGCCGGAGACGCAGCUGCAUGACAUUCUUUGGGCCGUCCAUGAUGGAAAAAACUGUGGUAGAAGCGAGGGCGGGGAAAAUUUAGGGGAGUUCCCAGUUACGGUGGGAGGUCGGGGGCCGAGCGAUGCGCAUUUCUCUCGUACACGUACACGCGUGUGUGCGAGGCGUUGGCUCUAACUAAACCCGAGCGAGGCAUUGAGCUCUAACUGAACCCGACUGAUUGCACUGCAGGCUACGCGUUACUGAACCCGAGCGAUCAAUUGAUGGUUGUUAACUGAACCCGAUCGAUCGAUUCCUUCGCUACUGCUGCUAACUGAAGCCGAUCGAUGUUGCCUCUNNNNNNNNNNNNNNNNNNNNNNNNNNNNNNNNNNNNNNNNNNNNNNNNNNNNNNNNNNNNNNNNNNNNNNNNNNNNNNNNNNNNNNNNNNNNNNNNNNNNNNNNNNNNNNNNNNNNNNNNNNNNNNNNNNNNNNNNNNNNNNNNNNNNNNNNNNNNNNNNNNNNNNNNNNNNNNNNNNNNNNNNNNNNNNNNNNNNNNNNNNNNNNNNNNNNNNNNNNNNNNNNNNNNNNNNNNNNNNNNNNNNNNNNNNNNNNNNNNNNNNNNNNNNNNNNNNNNNNNNNNNNNNNNNNNNNNNNNNNNNNNNNNNNNNNNNNNNNNNNNNNNNNNNNNNNNNNNNNNNNNNNNNNNNNNNNNNNNNNNNNNNNNNNNNUGGAUGAACAGGAGCCCGUGGAGGCUGGAGGAGAUCGACGGUAGCCUAUGGAGGCUGGAGGAGGUCGACGGUGGAGAUGAACAGUAUCCCGUCGAGUCCCGUUUUGCGGUAUGCCACACCCCUCUCGAUGAACAGGACCCCCGUUUCGACCGUAGCGCUCCAACACAAGUCCGUUUCGUCCGUUUUGCAGUACGCCACACCCCUCCUGAUCAACAGGACCCCCGUUUCGACCGUAGGAGGUCUGUUUCGUCCGUUUUGUGGUACGCCACACCCCUCCUGAUCAACAGGACCCCCGUUUCGACCGUAGGAGGUCCGUUUCCUCCAUUUUGCGGUACGCCAGACCCUUCUCGAUGAACAUGAUCCCGUUUCGAACGUGGACGGUCGAACACAAGGCCGUUUCCUCCGUUCUGCGGUACGCCAGGCCUCGUUUCCAUCGCAUGUUCUGUCCAAGCCCUCCCGAUGAACAUGACCACGCAUUUCGUUCCGACCCAGCCGGUUGGCUCCCACACGUUCCGUUGCCUCCCGAUGAACACGAUGCAUUCCGUUGCCUCCCCAUGAACAUGACGACGACGAUGUUUCUCCGUUCCGACCCAGCCAUGUACACGAGCUCUGGUCGUACGUAUGCGCGAGUAGGCAUUCUAGACCCCGCCCGUAUGUACACAUACGUGGCCGUAUUUUCUUUCUUGCACCCUGGUCGCUGUACAUACGUGUACAUGCUACGUGCGCGCCUCUACUAUGACACGUGUGCGCCUCUACUACGACACGUGCGCACCUUUACUAUGACACGUGUGCGCCUCUACAUCUACCAGUAUGUAUGUACACGUUCGUGACCAGAAUGACAACACUAUGUACGCUUCGACCAUGUGGGUCCCGACUGUCAGGCACUUCCUUGGUGCGAAGAUGUAGCUGGUGGGUCCCAGCUGUCAGGGGGGCGAAUCAUUUUGUUUUUUUGCCUGGACGCACUUCCUUGUGUGCGAAGGUGUAGCUGGUGGGUCCUAGCAGUCAGGGGGCGAACCGUUUUGUUUAUUUUUUGCCCGGACGCACUUCCUUGCGUGCGAAGGUGUAGCUGGUGGGUCCCAGCAGUCAGGGGGAAAUGUUUUUUUCGCGAAAUAUGGUGGCCCGUCCGGUGGGUCCCCGCUGUCAGGUGGAGAAAUAAUUAUUUUGCACGUAAUAAGGAGGCACUUCCUUGUGGCUGCCGUGGACCCAGCUGUCAGCCUCGCCACGUACAGUACUCUUCCGAUGGAAGUCGGUCGUUGACCACAUUGACAACGCCACGCCGAGAGCACCACGGCGGUGGACGAUGGCGAGGCCUAGGAAGGGACGACGCGGAGCCGGGGAAGACGCAGCAGUGGAUGCCCACGCGAAGAGGAGUAUGAGGGUUCACUGGUUCGGCUGCGGUGUGAGGCUGCCGUCGCUGCAGAAUAACAGGGGUGUGGGUGAGUAGAGGGAUGGCCUGGCCAGCGGUGGGAGUAGUAGGGGGCGGUGAGGUCUCCGCGGCAUCACAGCCGGCCAUGGGAGGCAGGAGCAUGUGGCACGACCGGCUCUGCUUUGGGCGGCUGGAGCACGAAGACUAGAGGUUCAAGAAGCACUACGGCCGUUGGAUGGACAUUGUACAGUCACUGGAGCUAGAAUCAUUCAUGUUGACUAAGUUGACAAAGCCCUCCGUCCCCGUAAACUUAGUAGGCCCACAAGUCAGCCUCCCACCAAGGUGAGUCCCAGCUAGCAGGGGGAGUAUUCAUUUUUUGUGCGUAAUAAGGAGGCAUUUCCGGUGGGUCCGAGCUGAUAGCGGGGGGAAUGUUUUUUUCAUGAAUUACAGAGGCCCUUCCGGUGGGUCCCAGCUAUGAGGUGGAGGAAUCAUUAUUUUGCGCGUAAUAAGGAGGCAUUUCCCUGUGUGGGCCCCUACUGUCAGCCUCUUCCGAUGGCUGUUGUUUGUUGACCAUGUUGACCUCGCUGCUCCGAGAGCACAAACGUGGUGGACGGGGGCGAGGCCCAGCAAGAGAACCAGCCAAAGCCGGCGAAGCCACUGUAGCGGAUGCCCACGCUGAGGGGAGAACGAGCGCUGACUGGUCGGCUGCAGGGAGGCUGACGUCGCCGGAAAAUAACAGGAUGUGUGGGUGGUUAGAGGGAUGGCCUGGCGGCAGCACAGCCAGCCACGGGAGGAGGGAGCAGGCAGUCCCGCCGGCGCUGGUUUGGGCGGCUGGAGUAGGAAGAUCAGAGAUUGAAGAAGCACAGCGGUUGUUGGAUGGACAUCCAACAGUCACUGUUGUGUGUUGACUAAGUUGACAAAGCCUUGCGUACGCGUCAAAAAAAAUAGGACAACGUCAUCGUGAACCUAGUAGGCCGAGAAGUCAGCCUCCAAACCUGUGGAAAACAGCAUACAGCCCAUUAGCCAUUAUUUUCAAUAAUUUAUAGCCCAUUUGCUAAUUCUUAAGGAUAUUUGAAGCCCAUAUUCUUUUUAUUAGAAUUACAGACCAUAUAUUCUGGGCACUGCUAAAAAAUUCAACGAAAUUUUGCAUAUUUCGGUGGGGUCUGAAUUCUUUUAAUCACGAAAUUUCGAGUCACGUUAAAAAUAAUUUUCAAAAAAUUAUAUCAAAAUAAAAUUCAAAAAACAAUUCUCCGCAAAAAAAUGAAUGAAAUUUAGAAUCUUAACUAGCAAGAUGCCCGUUCGUUGCACGGAACAUGAAGAUGCAUUUGUAUGAGUAGUUUAUCUUGUGGGAGAAAAGAUGAUAUUUUAAUGUAAUUGCCAGUUGGCUUUGGUUUUUAUAAGAGUACAGAGUAGAGAAAUCCUGGAAAAAAAUGAUAUUUCAAUGCAAUUGUCGGUUGGCUUUGGUUUAAAAAUUUAUAGCCCAUUUAUUACAACUUAUAGCCCAUUUUCUGGGGAAGCCUAUUUCUUACUACUUACAUCCCUCCUCGUCUUGAAAGAUUUGCAGCCCAGCAGGGCUGAGAAAAGCAAGUAGGCCUCGGUUUUGGUAUUCUCCAAAAAAAAGAACUGGGCUAGCCAAUUUCAGAAAGAAAAAAUAUAUCAACUGGGCUCGUCAUGUGCUUAUUAAAAGCAUAAGCAUGGGCUAGACGGGCCACAGCCCCCGCACAGCGCAGAGUUGAGCUCUGUCUCUGAAACUGAAAAACAACUGGGCGAGCUGCUGGGUCCCUGGUGUUUUCCGCUCAUUGUGUAAUUUUCUCGUUUAUUGACUACAUUGACAAUGGCGUGGAACCUAGUUGUCAAACAAUUAGGAGGAACUAUUUUUUUGGCUUGUAAUAACGAGGCACCUGCUUGUGAAAUGCAAUGACCCUGGUGGGUCCCUACUGUCAGCCUCUCCACGUACAGUCAUCUUCUGAUUCCACUUGGUUGUUGACCAUGUUGACAAUGCCAGACGGCAGUGGGCACAACGAGCGAACCAAGGCGGAGAAUGACGGCAAGGCCACGGACGGGAAUGCACAGCAGCCAUGGAAGAUGCGGCAGUGUAGUGGCAGGUGGAGGGGAGUACGAGGGCAACGACAUGCAAGUCAAGCAUACAAAUGGUACAAAAAGGCCAAGGAUUAAUUGUUCAUCAAUUUUUUAGACAAAACUCAGAUUGAACAUGACAGUAACAUCUAACCCAACCACUCUUUUUGCAGUCACAAACAAAUGGAUCGGUCUGAUCCAUAAAAUCAACAUCCUGUGCAAAAAAAAAUUAUUUCAGGAUGUCUACAACUUAUUGAAAAUAGAAGCUGAGCACGUUUAGAAGCCCAUUUUUCCACCUGAAAAUUCUUUUUUUUCUGUUCAACAUGUUCGUCCGUGAGAAAUCUCUUGUUGUAAAAAUUAAGCCUCAUGGACAAUAGUAACCUUGCAUUCAACAAGAAGAAUGUGACAAAGCUUCUGUUUGCCUGGUUAGAUGCAUAUCGUCCCAUCGUUAUUGUCCUCAAACGGAUGUCAUGAGAACUGAGAAAAUCCUUGUGCUUAUUACGCCAACGAUUGGUUAUAUGUUUUUCUCCAUGUGGUUCUACCUAAGUAGACAUGAAGAUUGAAAACAGUUAAGGUCUGAAAAAAGAGUAUGUCGAAAGAACGACAGCUGAACAGUUAAUUCUAGUACAAUAUAUAUGGGCUUUCAAUGUGCAUGAAAUCAUCACCUCUAUGUAUAAAUUCUCCAGAGAUCGAAAGCAUCGCAGCAAGCCAAUAAUUAUGUCUAGAUCAAAACUAUACAUUCUGAUAUAUAUGAUCUUGACAGAAUCCAGCAGCAUUGAUAGGCUAUCAAUGGAUGAACUCUUCAUUGAGCAUAUAACAUAAUAUUAGUACCCAAAGUGUACUCCAAGAUGAUAUAAAACUUAUGCGCACAAAUGAAAAAUGCAGCAUAUGAUUACAAAUGUGUAGAUGAUAAUAUACGGUACCUGAAAAAGUGAGGAGCCAAACACCAACUCCUUGUGAUUAUUAAAUGGGUCAUGAAUUACACCCAAGGUCUCCAAUUUGGGCGCAGAGACAAUAGUUAUUUCUGAAGGUGUAUAACAAUUAUGAAGGAGCAACCUUUCAAGUGAAGGGGCAUCUUCGAUGAUGAGCUGCUGUCCUUUAAAACAAAUUCCAAUGCUUUUAAGGUGAGGCGACUUUAUUUGGAGACAAUUCAUACCGAUUUCUAUUCCCAAAACAAUCAGCGAGCGUUCCAGGGCAAGGCAACUAGAGUGGAUGAUGCUGUGUAGUGAGGCCUCCGACAGAUAAACCACCACAACCGAAAGUUUUUUUAGUAGUGGGAGUCAAACCAUUUGUACCAGAUCGUCUGGUAGAUGGCACCGGGCGAAGGUGGCGGUGUGGAGAGAGGACAAAAACCACGAGAUGGACAACGGCGGUGUGGGCAUGAAUUCUUGGUAUGUUUGUGGUAUGAGACUUUUGUGGUAAUGGUAGAACUCAAACUGCUGGAGUUUUCCGAAUUCAGGGGAUGUUAGCCAAGCGUCCACCUUGCCGGGUAUGGACAACAGGUAGCUUGUCGGGAUGCAGAGGCAUUGAACGGGGCCCUGCUGGUGAGAAGAGAUGAUGGCUCUGAGGAGAUCAAAUUCAGGAAGGACAUAUAUCUGACGAUAGUCGAGAUUGAGGGGCGCGGUGCGCCAUAGAGGGCGCCACCAAGUUGAGAGGACUUGUGUGCGGCAGCAAUCCUUGGUGGGGAGAAGCGAGAUGAUCUCCUCAAGGAUGACGCGUGGGAGAUCGCUGAUGCGGUCCACCGGAGAUUCUACCGGUUCCUCAGAUCCGGGUGGGGGGGGUCGCUGCUUCUCACCGCGCUACCGAGUGCGGGAUCUACAACUAGCGUCGCCGCUGGCAGGAGCCUCAUCUUCUUGGCGCUGGGGACAGCCGACUCCAUUUUCCUUGUGGGCGUCACGCCGAGCUCACAGGUUUGACCAGAUUAGCCAGAGAUGAGCCUAGUGGAUUGCGAGUGGGGAAGAAGGAGGGCUGGGGAUUUCUGUAGGAGUGGAAGAAGAGGAGCAGGCGUUUUCUAUACGAGUGAGGAAGAAGGUGAGCGGGGUUUUCCGGAUGAGUGAGGAAGAUUGGGGAGCGGGGGGAAUUGGGGGGGGGGAGACGGAAGCGGGAGAGUGAGUUGUUCAUGUUUAUAAGGCCCGCUGCACUAACUAUUCGCUUUUUCCCAAGGACGCUCUCUUCUUUUGCGUUGCUACAUUGGAGCUGGCGCAUGGACUUGGUUGACUGGCCAUGCAUGCAGGAUGCAUGUGCCCGCCGGCCACUACAUGCGCCUGGUUUGUUACUAGGCCUAUUUAAUAGGGUGGUUAUGGAGUAAAUUAAGGAGAUUUAUUUUCUCUAUGUGCAUCCACCAAAUUAGAGGAUGCGGUACUGGAUGUAGGCACUCACAUUAAACUAACAUUCAGAAGAACAAAAGUUCAGCAUGUCUAUGCAUAUCAAUGAUUCACCAUACUAUAACCAAUACAAAGCCGUGAGAAGGUGUGGAAAUAAAGAAAAUCGGUCGAUGCUUCUCUGAGAAAAGGGCCUCCCUACGCACGCAUUAAUUUCCUGGGCAUGCUUGUUUCUUCUCAAUGUUGCGAGCACUUUGAGCAUGUUGGCAACUCCACGGCUAGCUAGCUGCCUCAUCUUGCAAUUGAUGCUGACACUUUUGCAGCAAACACAUGAGGCAAUAGAGAUGACUCAACAUGGGUCCAUAUUGUGCAGUUCCCCUGAAAUCAUAUUCAUUGUCCUGAAUCUGAAAAGAUAGGAAAAUAGUAGCUAUACUUAUACUGUGUUGCAAAACAGUAGCACAUAUCAAUAGCUCGGCAUGACAAAACACGAUCAUCUGGACGAAGGGGAUACUGACCUGCCUAAGGAAGAUUAUAUAUAAUUUCAUAAGUCCUUGGUUGAUUUCCACCUUCGGCUGCACUGCUUGUUUGCUCCUCCACACAUAACAGGAUCGUUCUGCACUGCAUUCAGCAAGUCAAGUACGAAUAAGCUAAUUUCAUCUUGCGGUGGUCAUUGUACCUAGUUACGAAUGUAGGAAUACCUGGAGCAUGCUAUGUCUUGAGGUUGCGUUGGUUUUCCUUGAAGAGGAAAGGGUGAUGCAGCAAUAGUAGCGGAAGUAUUUCCCUCAGUUUUUGAGAACCAAGGUAUCAAUCCAGUAGGAGGCUCCUCAAAAGUCCCACGCACUGCUACCUCUUGAGCACUGCGUUGGAUUUCCCCGAAGAGAAGAGGAUGAUGCAGUAAAGUAGCGUAAGUAUUUCCCUCCAUUUUUGAGAACCAAGGUAUCAAUCCAGUAGGAGAUCACGCACGAGUCCCUCGUACCUGCACAAAAUGAUAGCUACUCGCAACCAACGCGAUUAGGGGUUGUCAAUCCCUUCAUGGUCACUUACGAGGGUGAGAUCUGAUAGAGAUGAUAAAUAAUAUUUUUGGUAUUUUUGAUAUAGAGAUGCAAAGUGAAAAGUAAAAGGCAAAGUAAAAACAAAGCAAGUAUUAAAGUAAUGGAGAUUGAUAUGAUGAGAAUAGACCCGGGGGCCAUAGGUUUCACUAGUGGCUUCUCUCAAGAGCAUAAGUAUUCUACGGUGGGUGAACAAAUUACUGUUGAGCAAUUGAUAGAAUUGAGCAUAGUUAUGAUUAUAUCUAGGUAUGAUCAUGUGUAUAGGAAUCACGUCCGAGACAAGUAAACCGAAACGAUUCUGCAUCUAUUACUAUUACUCCACUCAUCGACCGCUAUCCGGCAUGCAUCUAGAGUAUUAAGUUAAAAACAGAGUAACGCCUUAAGCAAGAUGACAUGAUGUAGAGGGAUAAAUUCAUGCAAUAUGAUAAAAACACCAUCUUGUUAUCCUCGAUGGCAACAAUACAAUACGUGCCUUGCUGCCCCUUCUGUCACUGGGUAAGGACACCGCAAGAUUGAACCCACAGCUAAGCACUUCUCCGAUUGCAAGAACUACCAAUCUAGUUGGCCAAACCAAACGGAUAAUUCAAAGAGACUUGCAAAGAUAACUCAAUCAUACAUAAAAGAAUUCAGAGAAGAUUCAAAUAUUAUUCAUAGAUAAGCUGGAUCAUAAACCCACAAUUCAUUGGUCUCAACAAACACACCGCAAAAAGAAGAUUACAUCGAAUAGAUCUCCACAAGAGAGGGGGAGAACAUUGCAUUGAGAUCCAAAAAGAGAGAAGAAGACAUCUAGCUACUAACUAUGGACCCGAAGGUCUGAGGUAAACUACUCACACUUCAUCAGAGAGGCUAUGGUGUUGAUGUAGAAGCCCUCCAUGGUGGAUGCCCCCUCCGGCGGAGCUCCGGAAUAGGCCCCAAGAUGGGAUCUUGUGGAUACAGAAGGUUGCGGCGGUGGAAUUAGGUUUUUGGCUCCGUAUUUGAUCUGUCGGGGGUACGUAGGUAUAUAUAGGAGGAAGGAGUACGUCGGUGGACAAACAUGGGGCCCACGAGGUAGGGGGCGCGCCCAGGGGGAGGGCGCGCCCCCCACCCUCGUGACCGCCUCGGUUGUUCCUUGGAGCAGGGUCCAAGUCUCCUGGAUCACGUUCGGUGAGAAAAUCACGUUCCCGAAGGUUUCAUUCCGUUUGGACUCCAUUUGAUAUUCUAUUUCUUCGAAACACUGAAAUAGGCAAAAAAACAGCAAUUCUGGGCUGAGCCUCCGGUUAAUAGGUUAGUCCCAAAAAUAAUAUACAAGUGGAAAAUAAAGCCCAAUAUAAUCCAAAACAGUAGAUAAAGUAGCAUGGAGCAAUCAAAAAAUUAUAGAUACGUUGGAGAUGUAUCAGGCAUCCCCAAGCUUAAUUCCUGCUCGUCCUCGAGUAGGUAAAUGAUAAAAAAGAAUUUUUGAUGCGGAGUGAUACUUUGGCAUGAUUUCAAUGUAAAUCUUCUUAAUUGUAGUAUGAACAUUCAGAUCCGAAAGAUUCAAGACAAAAGUUCGUAUUGACAUAAAAGUAAUAAUACAUCAAGCAUACUAAUCAAAGCAAUCAUGUCUUCUCAAAAUAGCAUGGCUAAAUAAAGUUAUCCCUACAAAAUCAUAUAGUCUGGCUGUUGCUCUAUCUUCAUCACACAAAGUAUUUAAUCAUGCACAACCCCGAUGACAAGCGAAGCAAUUGUUUCAUACUUUAGUAAUCUCAAACUCUUUCAACUUUCACGCAAUACAUGAGCGUGAGCCAUGGACAUAGCACUAUAUGUGGAAUAGACUGGUGGUUGUGGAGAAGACAAAAAAGGAGAAGAUAGUCUCACAUCAACUAGGCGUAUCAACGGGCUAUGGAGAUGCCCAUUAAUAGAUAUCAAUGUGAGUGAGUAGGGAUUGUCAUGCAACGGAUGCACUAGAGCUAUAAAUAUAUGAAAGCUCAACAAAAGAAACUAAGUGGGUGUGCAUCCAACUUGCUUGCUCACGAAGACCUAGGGCACUUUUGAGGAAGCCCGUCAUUGGAAUAUACAAGCCAAGUUCUAUAAUGAAAAUUUCCCACUAGUAUACGAAAGUGACAACAUAUGAGUCUCUGUCUAUCAUGAAGAUCAUGGUGCUACUUUGAAGCACAAGUGUGGUAAAAGGAUAGUAACAUUGUCCCUUCUCUCUUUUUCUCUCAUUUUUUAUUGGGCCUUUUCUCUUUUUUUAUGGCCUCUUUUUAUAUAUAUAUUUCGUCCGGAGUCUCAUCCCGACUUAUGGGGGAAUCAUAGUCUCCAUCAUCCUUUCCUCACUGGGACAAUGCUCUAAUAAUGAUGAUCAUAACACUUUUAUUUUUCUUACAACUCAACAAUUACAACUCGAUACUUAGAACAAAAUAUGACUCUAUAUGAAUGCCUCCGGUGGUGUACCGGGAUAUGCAAUGAAUCAAGAGCGACAUGUAUGAAAAUUAUGAAGGUGGCCUUGCCACAAAUACAAUGUCAACUACAUGUUUAUGCAAAAAGCAAUAUGACAAAAGUAAUGUGUGUCAUAUGAACGGAACGGUGGAAAGUUGCAUGGCAAUAUAUCUCGGAAUGGCUAUGGAAAUGCCAUGAUAGGUAGGUAUGGUGGCUGUUUUGAGGAAGGUAUAUAGUGGGUGUAUGAUACCGGCGAAAAGUGCGCGGUAUUAGAGAGGCUAGCAAUGGUGGAAGGGUGGAAGGGUGUGUAUAAUCCAUGGACUCAACAUUAAUCAAAAGAACUCAUGCACUUGUUGCAAAAAUUUAGAAGUCAUCAAAAACCAAAGCACUACACGCAUGCUCCUAGGGGGAUAGAUUGGUAGGAAAAGACCAUCGCUCGUCCCCGACCGCCACUCAUAAGGAAUACAAUCAAUAAAUUAAAUUGUGCUCCAACUUCAUCACAAAGCGGUUCACCAUACAUGCAUGCUACGGGAAUCACAAACUUCAACACAAGCAUUCUUUAAAUUCAUAAUCACCCAACUAGCAUCACUUUGAUAUUAUCACCUCCAUAUCUCAAAACAAUUAUCAAGCAUCAAACUUAUCUUAGUAUUCAACGUACUCAAAAGAAAGUUUCACAUAUCUUGAAUACCAAGUGUAUUUAACAUUAAGCAAAUUACCAUGCUAUUAACGACUCUCAAAAUAAUCUAAGUGAAGCAUGAGUGAUCAAUAGUAUCUUUAAAACAAAUCCACCACCGUGCUCUAAAAGAUCUAAGUGAAGCACUAGAGCAAAAAUUAUCACGCUCAAAAGAUAUAAGUGAAGCACUUAUGAGCAAAACUAUCAAGCUCAAAAGAUAUAAGUGAAGCAUAUAGAGUAUUCUAGCAAAUUCCAAUUUAUGUGUGGCUCUCUCAAAAUGUGUGUACAGCAAGGAUGAUUGUGGUAAACUAACAAGCAAAGACGCAAAUAAUACAAGACGCUCCAAGCAAAACACAUAACAUGUGGUGAAUAAAAAUAUAGCUCCAAGUAAAUUACCGAUGGAAGUAGACGAAAGAGGGGAUGCCUUCCGGGGCAUCCCCAAGCUUUGACAUUUUGGUGUCCUUGGAUUAUCUUGGGGGUGCCAUGGGCAUCCCCAAGCUUAGGCUCUUGCCACUCCUUGUUCUAUAAUCCAUCAAAAGAAUUCACCCAAAACUUGAAAACUUCACAACACAAAACUCAAUAGAAAUCUUGCGAGCUCCGUUAGUGAAAGAAAACAAAAGACUAAUUUAAGGUACUGUAAUUAACUCAUUAUUUAUUUAUAUUGGUGUUAAACCUACUGUAUUUCAACUUCCUUAUGGUUUAUAAACUAAUUUAUUAGCCAUAGAUGCAUUGAAAUAAGCAAACAACACACGAAAAACAGAAUCUGUCAAAAACAGAACAGUCUGUAGCAAUCUGUAACUAACGCAAACUUCUGGAACUCUAAAAAUCCUACCAAAAUAGGACGUACUGGAAAAUUUGUCUAUUGAUUAGCAGCAAAACGAAUCAAUGCAAAAGCACGUUUCAGAGAUUUAUUGAAUUUUUUCUCGUGAGCGCAAAGUUUCUGUUUUUCAGCAGAAUCAAAUCAACUAUCAUCGUAGGUUAUGCUAUAGGUUCUACUUGGCACAAACACUAAUUAAAACAUAAAACCACAUCUAACCAGAGGCUAGAUGGAUUAUUUAUUCCUAAACAUAAGCAAAAACAAAAAAUAAAAAAUAAAAUUGGGUUGCCUCCCAACAAGCGCUAUCGUUUAACGCCCCUAGCUAGGCAUAAAAGCAAGGAUAGAUCUAGGUUUUGCCAUCUUUGGUAGGCAAUCCAUAAGUGGCUUUCAUGAUAGAUUCAUAAGGUAAUUUUAUUUGGGAAGUGUUCCAUGCCCUUCUUUAAGGGAAAUUGGAAUCUAAUAUUCCCUUCCUUCAUAUCAAUAAUCGCACCAAUCGUUCUAAGGAAAGGUCUACCAAGAAUAAUAGGACAUGAAGGAUUGCAAUCUAUAUCAAGAACGAUAAAAUCUACGGGCACAUAAUUCCUAUUUUCAACAAUAAGAACAUCAUUAAUUCUUCCCAUAGGAUUUUUAAUAGUGGAAUCCACAAUACGCAAGUUUGGAGAGCAAUCUUCAAAGUCAUGGAAAUCUAGCAAAUGACACAAAGUUUUGGGAAUAGUGGAGACACUAGCACCCAAAUCACACAAGGCAUGAAACUCAUAAUUUUUAAUUUUUAUUUUAAUAGUAGGUUCCCACUCAUCAUAGAGUUUUCUAGGGAUAGAAACUUUCAACUCACGUUUUUCUUCAUAAGAUUGCAUCAAGGCAUCAACAAUGUGUUCCGUAAAGGCCUUAUUUUGGCUAUAAGCAUGAGGAGAAUUUAGCACGGAUUGCAACAAGGAAAUACAAUCAAUUAGGGAGCAAUUUUCACAAUUAAAUUCCUUGAGAUCCAAAAUAGUGGGUUUAGCAACAUCUAGGUUUUUAUUUCUUUCAAUCCCACUUUCAUCAAUUUCAUCAUCAAGGUCUAAAAACUCUGAAUUCUUAAAACGCCUUCUAGGUAAAGGAAGAUCAUAUUCAGUUUCAUCAAGAUUCAUAUUGCAAAACAAAGAUUUAAUGGGGGACACAUCAAUAACUUUUAGAUCUUCAUCUUGAUUUUCAUAGGAAUUGGAAGAACACGCUUUAAUAAAGGCAUCUUUGGAAGCAUGCAUCCUAGCGGUUCUUUCCUUGCACUCAUCAAUGGAAAUUCUCAUAGCUUUGAGAGACUCAUUGAUAUCAUGUUUAGGAGGAAUAGAUCUAAGCUUUAAAGAAUCAAUUUCAAGAGAAAUUCUAUCAACGUUCGUAGCCAAAUCAUCAACUUUAAGCAAUUGCUCUUCAAGCAAAGCAUUAAAAUUCUUUUGUGAAUUCAUAAACUCUUUAACACUACUCUCAAAUUCAGAGGGCAUCUUAUUAAAAUUUCCAUAAGAGUUGUUGUAGGAAUUUCCAUAAUUAUUAGAAGGAUUACUAGGAUAAGGCCUAGGAUUAAAAUUCCCUCUAUACGCAUUGUUACCAAAAUUAUUCCUACCAACAAAAUUCACAUCCAUAGAUUCAUUAUUAUUCUCAAUCAAAGUAGACAAGGGCAUAUCAUUAGGAUCAGAAGAAACACUCUUAGUAGCAAAUAAUUUCAUAAGUUCAGCCAUCUUUCCACUCAAAACAUUAAUUUCUUCUAUCGCAUGCACUUUUUUAUUAGUAGAUCUUUCAGUAUGCCAUUGAGAAUAAUUUACCAUAAUAUUAUCUAGAAGUUUAGUAGCAUCUCCUAGAGUGAUUUCCAUAAAAGUGCCUCCUGCGGCCGAAUCUAAAAGAUUUCUAGAAGCAAAAUUCAAUCCGGCAUAAAUUUUUUGUAUAAUCAUCCACAAGUUCAAACCAUGAGUAGGACAAUUACGUAUCAUUAACUUCAUUCUCUCCCAAGCUUGUGCAACAUGUUCAUGAUCAAGGUGCUUAAAAUUCAUAAUAUCGUUCCUAAGAGAGAUAAUCUUAGCGGGAGGAAAAUUCUUAGAGAUAAAAGCAUCUUUGCAUUUGUUCCAAGAAUCAAUACUAUUUUUAGGCAAAGAUGAAAACCACGCUUUAGCACGAUCUCUAAGCAAAAAAGGAAAUAGCUUCAAUUUAACGACAUCAUUAUCGACAUCUUUUUUCUUUUGCAUAUCACAUAAAUAAACGGAGCUAUUCAGAUGAGUAGCAGCAUCUUCACUAGGAAGGUCGGCGAAUUGAUCUUUCAUAACAAGAUUAAACAAAGCAGUAUUGAUUUCACAAGAUUCAGUAUUGCCAAGAGGAGCAAUCGAAGUGCUAAGGAAAUCAUUAUUAUUGGUAUUGGGGAAGUCACACAAUUUGGUAGCAUCUUGAGCCAUCGCGACAAACAAGCAAUCCAACACACGAGCAAACAAAAGGGCAAACGAGAAAAAGGCGAAAGGGAAAGAGAGGAGGAGAUUGGGAAAGAGAGGGCGAAUAAAAUGGCAAGGGUGAAGUGGGGGAGAGGAAAACGAGAGGCAAAUAAUGUAAUGCGAGAGAUAGGGAUUGUGAUGGGUACUUGAUAUGGUUGACUUUUGCGCAAACUCCCCGGCAACGGCGCCAGAAAUUCUUCUUGCUACCUCUUGAGCACUGCGUUGGAUUUCCCCGAAGAGGAGAGGAUGAUGCAGUAAAGUAGCGUAAGUAUUUCCCUUACUUUUUGAGAACCAAGGUAUCAAUCCAGUAGGAGAUCACGCAAGAGUCCCUCGUACCUGCACAAAACGAUAGCAACUCGCAACCAACGCGAUUAGGGGUUGUCAAUCCCUUCACGGUCACUUACGAGGGUGAGAUCUGAUAGAGAUGAUAAAUAAUAUUUUUGGUAUUUUUGAUAUAGAGAUGCAAAGUGAAAAGUAAAAACAAAGCAAGUAUUAAAGUAAUGGAGAUUGAGAUGAUGGGAAUAGACCCGGGGGCCAUAGGUUUCACUAGUGGCUUCUCUCAAGAGCAUAAGUAUUCUACGGUGGGUGAACAAAUUACUGUUGAGCAAUUGAUAGAAUUGAGCAUAGUUAUGAUUAUAUCUAGGUAUGAUCAUGUGUAUAGGCAUCACGUCCGAGACAAGUAAACCGAAAUGAUUCUGCAUCUACUACUAUUACUCCACUCAUCGACCGCUAUCCAGCAUGCAUCUAGAGUAUUAAGUUAAGAAUAGAGUAACGCCUUAAGCAAGAUGACAUGAUGUAGAGGGAUAAAUUCAUGCAAUAUGAUAAAAAACCAUCUUGUUAUCCUUGAUGGCAACAAUAUAAUACGUGCCUUGCUGCCCCUUCUGUCACUGGGUAAGGACACCGCAAGAUUGAACCCAGAGCUAAGCACUUCUCCCAUUGCAAGAACUACCAAUCUAGUUGGCCAAACCAAACGGAUAAUUUGAAGAGACUUGCAAAGAUAACUCAAUCAUACAUAAAAGAAUUCAGAGAAGAUUCAAAUAUUAUUCAUAGAUAAGCUGGAUCAUAAACCCACAAUUCAUCGAUCUCAACAAACACACCGCAAAAAGAAGAUUACAUCGAAUAGAUAUCCACAAGAGAGGGGGAGAACAUUGUAUUGAGAUCCAAAAAGAGAGAAGAAGCCAUCUAGCUACUAACUAUGGACCCGAAGGUCUGAGGUAAACUACUCACAUUUCAUCGGAGAGGCUAUGGUGUUGAUGUAGAAGCCCUCCGUGAUGGAUGCCCCCUCUGGCGGAGCUCCGGAACAGGCCCCAAGAUGGGAUCUCGUGGAUACAGAAGGUUGCGGCGGUGGAAUUAGGUUUUUGGCUCCGUAUUUGAUCUGUCGGGGGUACGUAGGUAUAUAUAGGAGGAAGGAGUACGUCGGUGGAGCAACAAGGGGCCCAUGAGGUAGGGGGGCGCGCCCAGGGGGAGGGCGCGCCCCCCACCCUCGUGACCGCCUCGGUUGUUCCUUGGAGCAGGGUCCAAGUCUCCUGGAUCAUGUUCACUGACAAAAUCACGUUCCCGAAGGUUUCAUUCCAUUUGGACUCCGUUUGAUAUUCUGUUUCUUCGAAACACUGAAAUAGGAAAAAAAAAGGCAUUUCUGGGCUGGGCCUCCGGUUAAUAGGUUAGUCCCAAAAAUAAUAUAAAAGUGGAAAAUAAAGCCCAAUAUAGUCCAAAACAGUAGAUAAAGUAGCACGGAGCAAUCAAAAAUUGUAGAUACGUUGGAGACGUAUCACGCACCUACACAAAUUAAACAAAGAACUCGCAACCAACGCAAUAAAGGGGUUAUCAAUCCCCUCAUAGCCACUUGCAAAAGUGAGAUCUGAUAGAGAUAGUAUGAUAAAAUAAAUAUAUUUUUGGUAUUUUAUAAUAUAGAUGCAAAAGGUAAAGAUAUAAAUAAAAGUAGAUUGAAAGCUAAUAUGAUAAAAGAUAGACCCGGGGGCCAUAGGUUUUACUAGUGGCUUCUCUCAAGAUAGCAUAAGUAUUACGGUGGGUGAACAAAUUACUGUCGAGCAAUUGAUAGAAAAGCGAAUAAUUAUGAGAUUAUCUAGGCAUGAUCAUGUAUAUAGGCAUCACGUCCAUGACAAGUAGACCGACUCCUGCCUGCAUCUACUACUAUUACUCCACACAUCGACCGCUAUCCUGCAUGCAUGUAGAGUAUUAAGUUCAUAAGAACAGAGUAACGCAUUAAGAAAGAUGACAUGAUGUAGAGGGAUAAACUCAAGCAAUAUGAUACAAACCCCAUAUUUUUAUCCUCGAUGGCAACAAUACAAUACGUGCCUUGCAACCCUUUCUGUCACUGGGUAAGGACACCGCAAGAUUGAACCCAAAGCUAAGCACUUCUCCCAUGGCAAGAAAGAUCAAUCUAGUAGGCCAAACCAAACUGAUAAUUCGAAGAGACUUGCAAAGAUAACUCAAUCAUACAUAAAAGAAUUCAGAGGAGAUUCAAAUAUUUCUCAUAGAUAAACUUGAUCAUAAACUCACAAUUCAUCGGAUCUCGACAAACACACCGCAAAAAGAGUUUACAUCGAAUAGAUCUCCACAAGAGAGGGGGAGAACAUUGUAUUGAGAUCCAAAAAGAGAGAAUAAGCCAACUAGCUAAUAACUAUGGACCUGAAGGUCUGUGGUAAACUACUAACAACUCAUCGGAGGGGCUAUGGUGUUGAUGUAGAAGCCCUCCAUGGUCGAUUCCCCCUCCGGUGGAGCACCGGCGAAGGCUCCAAGAUGGGAUCUUGCGGAUACAGAAGGUUACGGCAGUGGAAAUUGUGUUUCGGUGGCUCCCUAGAUGUUUUCGAGGUACGUAGGUAUAUAUGGGAGGAAGAAGUACGUCGGUGGCCACUCGAGGGGCCCAGGAGACAGGGGCGCGCCCUCCAACCUCCUGGCCGCCUCAUUUGCUUCUUGACUUCCACUCCAAGUUCUCUGGAUCACGUUCGUUCCAAAAAUCAUGCUCCCGAAGGUUUCAUUCCGUUUGGACUCCGUUUGAUAUUCCUUUUCUUCGAAAUACUAAAAUAGGCAAAAAACAGCAAUACGGGUUGGGCCUCCGGUUAGUAGGUUAGUCCCAAAAAUGAUAUAAAUGUGUAAAAUAAAGCCCAUAAACAUCCAAAAGGGGUAAUAUAAUAGCAUGGAACAAUCAAAAAUUAUAGUUACGUUGGAGACGUAUCAAGCAUCCCCAAGCUUAAUUCCUGCUCGUCCUCAAGUAGGUAAAUGAUAAAAACAAAUUUUUUUGAUGUGGAAUGCUACCUAGCAUAAUUCUCAAUGUAAUUUUCUUUAUUGUGGCAUGAAUGUUCAGAUCCAAAUGAUUCAAAAUAAAAGUUCAUAUUGAUAAAAGAAAUAGUAACACUUCAAGCAUACUAAUCAAAGCAAUUACGUCUUCUCAAAAUAACAUGGCUAAAGAAAUUUCGUCCCUACAAAAUCAUAUAGUUAGGCUAUGCUUCAUUUUCGUCACACAAAGAUGUUCCCAAAUUCUACACCCCCGAUGACAAGCCAAGCAAUUGUUUCGUACUUAAAUAAUCUCAAACUUUUUCAACCUUCACGCAAUACAUGAGCAUGAGCCAUGGAUAUAGCACUAUGGGUGGAAUAGAAUAUGAUGAUGGGGAUUGUGUGGAGAAGACAAAAAAAGAGAAAGUCUCACAUUGACGAGGAUAAUCAACGGGCUAUGGAGAUGCCCAUCAAUUGAUGUCAACAUGAGGAGUAGGGAUUGCCAUGCAACGGAUGCACUAGAGCUAUAAAUGAAUGCUUAACAAAAGAAAACUAGUGGGUGUGCAUCCAACUUGCUUGCUCACGAAGACCUAGGGCAUUUGAGGGAGCCCAUCGUAGGAAUAUACAAGCCAAGUUCUAUAAUGAAAAAUUCCCACUAGUAUAUGAAAGUGACAACAUAUGAGACUCACUAUAUGAAAAACAUGGUGCUACUUUGAAGCACAAGAUAUGAGACUCACUACAUGAAGAACAUGGUGCUACUUUGAAGCACAAGUGUGGAAAAAGAGAUAGUAACAUUGCCCCUUUUUAUUUUUUUUCUUUUUUUUAUUUUUAUUUUUUUUCUUUGGCCUUUCUUUUUUUUCUUUUUCUUUUUUUUUCUUUUUGGGCAAUGUUCUAAUAAUGAUGAUCAUCACACUUUCAUUGAUUACAACAUAUGAAUUACAACUCGAAACUAGAACAAGAUAUGACUCUAUAUGAAUGCCUUCGGCGGUGUACCGGGAUGGUGCAAUGAAUCAAGAGUGACAUGUAUAAAAAAUUAUGCAUGGUGGCUUUGCCACAAAUACAAUGUCAAUUACAUGAUCAUGCAAUGGCAAUAUGACAAAAGUAAAGUAUGUCAUGAUGAUGAUGAACGCAACGGUGGAAAGUUGCAUGGCAAUAUAUCUCGGAAUGGCUAUGGAAAUGCCAUAAUAGGUAGGUAUGGUGGCUGUUUUGAGGAAGAUAUAAGGAGGUUUAUGUGUGAUAGAGCGUAUCAUAUCACGGGGUUUGGAUGCACUGGCGAAGUUUGCACCAACUCUCAAGGUGAGAAAGGGCAAUGCUCGGUACCAAAGAGGCUAGCAAUGGUGGAAUGGUAAAAGUGCGUAUAAUUCAUGGACUCAACAUUAGUCAAAAGAACUCAUAUACUUAUUGCAAAAAUUGAUAAGUCAUCAAAAAUCAAGCACUACGUGCAUGCUCCUAGAGGGAUAUAUUGGUAGGAAAAGACCAUCGCUCGUCCCCGACCGCCACUCAUAAGGAUGCACAAGCCAGGUACACUCCAUGUUUCAAAUUUGUUACACAACUUUAACCAUACGUGCAUGCUAUGGGACUUGCUAACUUCAACACAAGCAUUCUUUAAAUUCAUAAUCACCCAACUAGCAUGACUUUAAUAUCACUACCUCCAUAUCUCAAAACAAUUAUCAAGUAUCAAAUUGAUCAAAGCAUCCAAUUCACUUCCUAUGAUAGUUUUUAUUGUACCCAACUUGGAUGCCUACCAUUCUAGGACAAAUUUAUAACCGUAGCAAAUACCAUUCUGUUCUAAAAGACUCUCAAAAUAAUAUAAGUGAAGCAUGGGAUACUAGCAAUUUCUAUAAAAUCAAGCAACCGCCAUGCUCAAAAAGAUAUAAGUGAAGCACUAGAGCAAAAACUAUCAAGCUCAAAAGAUAUAAGUGAAGCACAUAGCAUAUUCUAAUAAAUUCAAAUCAAGUAUGCUUCUCCCAAAAGGUGUGUACAGCAAGGAUGAUUGUGGUAAACUAAAAAGCAAAGACUAAUAUAAUACACGACGCUCCAAGCAAAACACAUAUCAUGUGGCGAAUAAAAAUAUAGCUCCAAGUAAAGUUACCAAUGAACGAAGACAAAAGAGGGGAUGCCUUCCCGGGGCAUCCCCAAGCUUAGGCUUUUGGCUAUUCUUGAAUAUCUUGGGGUGCCAUGGGCAUCCCCAAGCUUAGGAUUUUGCCACUCCUUAUUCCAUAGUCCAUCAAAGCUUUACCCAAAACUUGAAAACUUCACAACACAAAACUCAACAGGAAAUCUUAUAAGCUCCGUUAGUGAAAGAAAACAAAACCACCACAUAAGGUACUGUAAUGAAAUCAUUCUUUAUUUAUUUUGGUGUUAAACCUACUUUAUUCCAAGUUCUCUAUGGUUCAUACCACUUAAUACUAGCCAUAGAUGCAUCAAAAUAAGCAAACAACACACGAAAAACAGAAUCUGUCAAAAACAGAACAGUCUGUAGCAAUAUGUAACUAACGCAAACUUCUGGAACUCUAAAAAUCCUACCAAAAUAGUAAGUCCUGCACAAUUUGUUUAUUGAUCAGAAUCAAAAAGAAUCAAUGCAAAAGCACGUUCUUGUAAUUUAUAGAAUUUUUUAUCGUGAGCGCAAAGUUUCUGUUUUUCAGCAGAAUCAAAUCAACUAUCACCAUAGGUUAUCCUAUAGGUUCUACUUGGCACAAACACUAAUUAAAACAUAAAAACACAUCUAAACAGAAAUUAGAAGCAAAAUGUAUUACUAAGCAGGAACAAAAACAAACAACACAAAGAAAAUUGGGUUGCCUCCCAACUAGCGCUAUCGUUUAACGCCCCUAGCUAGGCAUAAAAGCGAAGAUAGAUCUAAGUAGUGCCAUCUUUGAUUUUCAGUUUUUUAGCGGAGUCAUGCUCGAAUCCGGGAGGUUCUUUACGUUUCCCUUCAUACUCGGAAAUUUUUAGAUCUAAAGAAUCCAACCGCUUAUUGCAAAGAGUGAUCAACAUAUUCAUGCGGUGAAGAUUUCCGCUAACACUUUUAAGAGGCUCAAGAGACUUUUGUAAAAAAAUUGUUAGUUCGCAAAUCUUUCCAAACACUUGUGUUUCUUCUUGGGUAGGAUGUGAUCCUCCCUUUUGAGGUAGUGUUCCCACUAUUCCCUCCAUAAUUUCAUGAGCAAUACUAGGAUCAAUUUCAAGAAAAUUUCCCUUGGCAAUGCAAUCCAAGAGUUGUCUAUGCGUCAUAUUUAGCCCAACAUAAAAAUUGCGAAGAAGAAUUCUAAAGUUCACCUCUAGGGUGCACUUGCGAUAAGAUUCCAUCAUCCUAUACCAAGAAUCUUUUAAGUUUUCUCCUUGCCUUUGCUUGAAGUGAAGAACUUCAAACUCGGGAGACAUAGGAGCGGAUAAGGAACUAGCCAUAACGACAAGGUAAACGAUCUAACGCACGAGCAAACAGAAAAGGGCAAGCGAAAAAGAGAGAGACAUUGGGAAAGAGAGGGCAAAUAAAACGACAAGGGUGAAGUGGGGGAGAAGAAAACGAGAGGCAAUAGGCAAAUAAUGUAAAUGCGAGGGAGAUGAGUUUGUGAUGGGUACUUGGUAUGUCUUGACUUGAGCGAAGACCUCCCCGGCAACGGCGCCAGAAAUUCUUCUUGCUACGUCUUGAGCUUGCGUUGGUUUUCCUUGAAGAGGAAAGGGUGAUGCAGCAAUAGUAGCAUAAGUAUUUCCCUCUGUUUUGAGAACCAAGGUAUCAAUCUAGUAGGAGGCUCCUCAAAAGUCCCACGCACCUACACAAACAAACAAAGAACUCGCAACCAACGCAAUAAAGGGGUUGUCAAUCCCUUCACGGCCACUUGCGAAAGUGAGAUCUGAUAGAGAUAGUAUGAUAAGAUAAAUAUAUUUUUGGUAUUUUAUAAUAUAGAUGCAAAAAGUAAAGAUACAAAUAAAAGUAGAUUGAAAGCUAAUAUGAUAAAAGAUAGACCCGGGGGCCAUAGGUUUCACUAGUGGCUUCUCUCAAGAUAGCAUAAGUAUUACGGUGGGUGAACAAAUUACUGUCGAGCAAUUUAUAGAAAAGCGAAUAAUUAUGAGAUUAUCUAGGCAUGAUCAUGUAUAUAGGCAUCACGUCCGUGACAAGUAGAGCGACUCCUGCCUGCAUCUACUACUAUUACUCCACACAUCGACCGUUAUCCAGCAUGCAUCUAGAGUAUUAAGUUCAUAAGAACAGAGUAACACAUUAAGAAAGAUGACAUGAUGUAGAGGGAUAAACUCAAGCAAUAUGAUAUAAACCCCAUCUUUUUAUCCUCGAUGGAAAAAAUACAAUACGUGCCUUGCAACCCUUUCUGUCACUAGGUAAGGACACUGCAAGAUUGAACCCAAAGCUAAGCACUUCUCCCAUGGCAAGAAAGAUCAAUCUAGUAGGCCAAACCAAACUGAUAAUUCGAAGAGACUUGCAAAGAUAACUCAAUCAUACAUAAAAUAAUUCAGAGGAGAUUCAAAUAUUUCUCAUAGAUAAACUUGAUCAUAAACUCACAAUUCAUCGGAUCUCGACAAACACACCGCAAAAAGAGUUUACAUCGAAUAGAUCUCCACAAGAGAGGGGGAGAACAUUCUAUUGAGAUCCAAAAAGAGAGAAGAAGCCAACUAGCUAAUAACUACGAACCCGAAGGUCUAUGGUAAACUACUCACAACUCAUCGGAGGGGCUAUGGUGUUGAUGUAGAAGCCCUCCGUGGUCGAUUCCCCCUCCGGCAGAGUGCCGGCAAAGGUUCCAAGAUGGGAUCUUGCGGAUAAAGAAGGUUACGGUGGUGGAAAUUGUGUUUCGGUGGCUCCCUGGAUGUUUUCGGGGUACAUAGGUAUAUAUAGGAGGAAUAAGUACGUCGGUGGCCGCUCGAGGGGCCUAGGAGACAGGGGGCGCGCCUAGGAGGGGUGGGCGCGCCCUCCUACCUCUUGGCCGCCUCGUUUGCUUCUUGACUUGCACUCCAAGUUCUCCGGAUCACGUUCGUUCCAAAAAUCACGCUCCCGGAGGUUUCAUUCCGUUUGGACUCCGUUUGAUAUUCCUUUUCUUCAAAAUACUGAAAUAGGCAAAAAAACAGCAAUACGGGUUGGGCCUCCGGUUAGUAGGUUAGUCCCAAAAAUGAUAUAAAUGUGUAAAAUAAAGCCCAUAAACAUCCAAAAGGGGUAAUAUAAUAGCAUGGAACAAUCAAAAAUUAUAGAUACGUUGGAGACGUAUCAGAGCACCAUGAGGUUAGCUGACAGCAGGUAGAUGCAGCCAUAUAAAUUUUGUGCGGUGCUACCAAAAUUGAGGUUUGUAUCCCUUCCCGUUAUGAGAAUUCUUAUUGAAGUUGGUAGAAUGUGACGGCUUGUUCUUUGCAUCAAACUUGCCUUUCCCCUGAGAUUUGUUCUUGUUGCUUUGGGGCUGGUUGGGCUGGAAGUUCUUCUCGUGUACCAUGUGGGCCCUAGAAGCUCCCUCAGCGACCCGAGCAUGUGUGUCUUUUGCUCUCGCCUUCUCCUCAAAAUCAAGAGUGCUAAUGAGAUCCAAAAUAGAAAACUCAUGUCUCUUGUUUUUCAGAGAAAUAGCAAAAUCGUUCCACGAAGGUGGAAGCUUGGCAAUGAUGGUCCCAGCAACAAAUUUGUCCGGCAACACACACUUAAAGUACUCAAGUUCCUUAAAGAGUGACUGUAUCUCAUGAGUCUGCUGAACAACAGAGCGCUCAUCAGUCAUCUUGUAGUCACAGAAUUGCUCCAUGACGUACAACUCGUUGCCAGCGCCCGUGGGCCCAAACAUGGCCUCGAGCGCAGCCCACAUGUCUUUGCCGCUGUCAAACGACAUAUAUGAAUCCACAAUGGAAUCGUCAAGAACACUUAGCAGGGCGGCUUUGAAGAGGGUAUCCAUGUUCUGAAAGGCUUCCUGCUGUGUAGGAUUAAGAUCGCCCUCAGGCUUACCCUUAGUGGCGUCAUAGCAGUACAUGAUCUGAAACCAAUAUACUGAUCUUGUGCGCCACAUUUUAUAUUGCACCCCCUUAAAAGUAGGCGGCUUCAAAAGCGCAGCAAAACCAUUCAGAGUAAAUUGCCUGUAAUCAGGUUUUUGGAUUGGAUUGUUGAAUAUAUGAGCAAUUUACUAUGAGAUUUAAUCCAAAUCAGCAGUAAAUAGAUCAUGACGACAAUUGCAAACAUCAAAGUAAUGAUGCGGACUAAACCAGGAGGACAGAAUCACAUACUGUACAGCGGGGGCAGAACCGAUUUGGUUGAUGUUGUCACUCAUGUCGUUGAUGAAGAGGUUACCGAGGUCGGGGAAGAAGGCUGUCGUUGAGGAAGUCAUUGCUGGCAGCAGUCACAGGAGUGUGCUCCCCAAAAACCUGAUUGCCCCUCUCCCAUACAGGAUCAUGAAAGGUGGGGUUCAAAGGACUGAUGUCCCUUCUCGCGGUGCACGCUGGAAGGAGGGCUGGAGAAGAAUUGUGUGGCGGCGCUAAGAUCUGGAACGGUGCGAAACCAUAUGAUACAGCGGCGGCUAGGGUAGAGCAUGUCAGGUCGGUUGUGCGAGGAUAAUAGUAGGCCUUUGGCCCCAAAACCCCACGUCCAAGUUAAUAAUAGCUCAAAAAAAGUCAAUAAUAGCCCCACCAAGGUUUGUCUCAAAAAAACCGGAGUAAUUAAGGCGUCCGUUAGUCCCUUUAGUAUAAAUACUAUAUCAUUAAUAAUGCCCCACCUUUUGUCUCACAAAGUAUGUUGGAGUACAACCGGCUACACGUUUACAAUCCGCUUCGCUUCUCUCUCCUCUUCUCUCUCCUUCAACUAAGGCUAGCCAUAGUGGGAGUAACUUAGGUAGUAACUUAAGACAUCCCAAGACAAUUUUGCUUAUGUGGCAAGUAUUUGAUGAGGAAAGAGGUGCUUGUGGUAACAUAAUAUGUUACUAUAACAUAGCGCUUCCUGAGGCAAAAUGAGUCUAUUAGAUAAUAAAUGAAGCAGUCUAUGAUACUACUACUAUGUUACUACCUCCGUCCUGGUUUAUUGGUCCCCAUAAUAUUUUGUGCCAAACUUUGACCAUAGAUUUAACUAAAUAAAUAAUAAUGCAUGUUAGCAAAAAUUAUAUCCCUGGAUUCGUAUUUGAACAUAGUUUUGAGAGAUAUUAUUUUUGGUUACAUGCAUUAAAAUUUUUUAGUUAAAUCUAAGGUCAAAGUUUUGCACAAAAUACUAAAGGGACUAAUAAACCAGGACGGAGGUAGUACUUUGCACUAUGGAGGUAAUAACUUACACUAGUGUCAUAUGCAUGACACUAGUCUAAGUUACUCCCCACUGACCAGCCUAAGCACAAAUACUAUAUUUAAAUCCUUAUAGCCUGCUUAUGUCAUCUAGUUGUAGUACUUGCUCUAAAGUUACUCUCCACUGUGUAGUCUGAAAUGUCGGGCGUGCAACGGGCGGUGCCCUCGGUCGGCGUGCCGCUUCAACGGCGGAAGCAGUGAGAGGUCGUGUCGCCCUGACUUGCCAUCAAUGUGGAGCGGCGAGCUCAGCUGGCGCCGGGCGGGAAGCGCGCGUGGGAGGGGGAGGGUUUUUUGUUGGGCCAAGAAGGUGAGAAGCCAACUUGGGAUCGGUCCGGACGGGGAAAUAUCAUGUGCUCCCAUACUCUGCAUAUGACACUAGUCUAUGUUACUACUCCCUCCUUUCCGGUUUACAGAUAUGUUUAGAGUAACAUAGUAAUAUGUUACAGUAUAAGUUACUCCCCACUAUGACCACCCUUGGCCUCUCCCAGUGCUCCACCAUGUAUAGCUGCUAAGCCUGCCACGUAGGCAUAAAAUAUGAUGUGGCACCAAUAAACUAAGCACCUAUGCAUUGAAGACUUGAGUUACUAAGCCAUUUAAUGCACUUAGCACCUCAUCUAAAGAGCAUGGUUAAUAGUAUAGCCAGCUGCUGGCUAUAAGCCAGUGCCAUGUCAUCUACAGCCCAUCUUAUAGUCAACAUGUACAAUAGUAGAUCAAAAGAGUGUACUACUUUUUUAGUAUGUGGCCCACCUUUCAUUCUCACAAAGUGCCUAGGAGCACGUGCUAGAGCUGGCUCUUCAUGAAGAGCCCGCUUACCCUUCUCUCUCCUCUUCUCUUUCCUCCAACUAAGCAGAAAUAUACUAGUUUAUUCCUUAUAGCCCGCUGACUCAGCUCUAUUGUACUUUCUCUAAGAAUAUCUAAGCACUUACUAGCACCCCCUUGACGGUGUACGUCACCUUGUGUCUUAUAAUUUUCCUCGUCAUCAUUUGAGUCCUAGAAGAUCUCACCCACAUCAUCAUUAGCAUGCAGCCGCCUUGAUAGACAACAUGUGCAGAAGGAGUAGAGGCUACUGGGGACGCACCACCACCACGUCAUGGGCACUCCGUAUGUGCUCGUGUGCGUGCAGCGUGCGUGUUUUUCCAUCGGUGCUAGCUCUAAGGCUGAGGCUGCGGUCUUCUUCGUCUCCGACUAGUAGUUGAGCAACGACGGCAAAGAGGUGCUGCAAGAGAUGUGUAUGCGCUGUUGCGUGCGAGCUUCGCCGUAGCACGACGAAGUGGACGUCGCCGCGAAUGGCUCACCCCUCCAUGCAGCAGAGUGUGCGCGCAUGCAUGUGUUAUUCACGUGCAUUCUGCGGCCGAGCGUGUGUGCAUGCACGUCUUGUGUACGUGUGUUGUGUGCUCCAUGCUGUGCUCGUAUGUGCAUGAGUUGGAUUGGAUGGAGUUAGUGCGUUGGCGUGUGUACAUGCGUGGCUGCAUGCGUCCUGUACAUGCAUGGCUUGUUGCGUGGUUAGCAAUAAUUCAAUAUAAACUACUCCCUCCGUUCCUAAAUAUAAGUCUUUCUAGCCAUUUCAAAUAGACUACAACAUACGGAUGUAUGUAGACAUAUUUUAGAGUGUAGAUUCACUCAUUUUGUUUCAUAUGUAGUCCCUUAUUGAAAUCUCUAAAAAGACUUAUAUUUGGGAACGGAGGGAGUAUAAAACAUCUUCAACUUAGCAUCCUGAUGUACCGUUUCUAGUGGUCAGCGAAAAGUUCAUGUUCUUUUAUUUGUUUAUAGGUGGGCAGGCGGCAAAAAACAGGGGAAAACGCGCAAGGUUCCUAGCAGACGCUCCACCGCGAGGUUCCUUGCUCCUUCUCGGUUGUCGGGAAUCUAUGCUCUUCAACUCUUUUCUUUUACGUGAGAUUUGUUCAUCCUUUUCCCAACACGCGAGACAUCUAGCAUCAAGGUGCAUGUGUCAUGCAAGAAAAUGGACAUAAUCAGAUAAGUAGUGCGUAAGUGAGUUGUGGGGGGGGGGAAGCGAGGGGAAACCCUUUUUCGUAAGUGAGUCAUGCACUUCGAUGGCACCUAGGCAAUAUUUUUUCUCCUCGAUGGCACGUGAAUAGUGCACAUACUCAACGACGGAGCACGGGAUGGUAGCAAUGACAUGGUCAGCCCAUUUUUGGAGAGAGUACGUACUACUAGUAAAUAAGUUUAUGUGUCCCAUCAACUCGCAGAAUGACAAGAAGCUUGAUUAUGCCUUCUCCCUUGCCAACGCGUGCGCGGUGGCUCGUAGCACAAGGAGAAACUUUUGCUUACAAGCGGUGGAUGUGCAGCAGUUCAUUUCGUGUCAGAUUGCCAGAAGCACUACUGUAGAACCAUCGACUUCCGGAAGAGGCGAAGAGCCAAGCGCAAGGUCACCUACUAACCUUAGGCUAGGCGUAGUGGGAGUAACAUAAGUAGGGGUACCUCCUUUUUUAUUCUAGAAACAACCACACGCGAAUAUCAAGGUGCUGGUUACGUAGAACAAAUUUCCUAGAGUCCGUUCUCAGCCCUCCUCUAUCUCUCUUCUCAGCCAGCCAGCAGACGUGCGGAGCCCAUCGUCUGUUUGCUCACAUGCGGUCCCACAUGUCAGUGAAAACACAAGAGGACCCACUGAACCUGCACAUCGUUCACCUCGACGUGUUGGUGAUGAAAAACAUAUCCAAUAAAGAUCUUCGGUGGCCGCUUUUGGAGUUACUCAAGAGUAGUAAGAUUCUUUUUACAGUUUAACCCAAGAUGCACAUCUCGUGGCUUCAACUACCACUCUAUUUUCUUUCAUGACACGACCUGGAUGCUGGAUGUCCCACGUGUCGGCAAAAGGAGGAAGAACCCGACCAAAUCUUCGGUUGUGCUCUCGGAUUAUACUAGUUGUGCUAACUUAAAAAAUUUAUUGUGUACUCCCUUCGUUCCAAAAUACUUGACUUCCAUUUGUCCAAAAAUGGAUGUACCUAUAUACUAAAACAUGUCUGGAUACAUAUAUAUUUUGACAAAUAGAAGGCAUGUAUUGUGCAACGAAGGGAGUAGAAUGGAUGCAAGUCUUGGUAUUGGGAAGAAGAGUACAUCCAUAUAUUGAUAGAGCGCAAUUUAGUAGAUGUUCUAGCACUUUUAGCUAGCAUAGAGGCUAGAGAUGAGACUAGUGCACUUGUUGAUACUCCUACUAGAAUAGAGGCUAGACAUGAGACUAGAUGCGAGGAAGCAACAUCUACUUCUUUACACUCGAAGAAGAAAGAAGCACGCAAGAUCGAGCCUCCGCAGAUCAACAAUGAAUGCAUCAAGAAGGCACUAAUCCAACUUACAGGAGUAGUAAAAUGUAUUCUUCUGGUUCUUGUUUUUUUUGGUCUUGCUUGUCUAGUCAAAAUUAUCGUUGGAGUUUGUGCAAAACGGAGGUCCGUUUGGGGUCGUGCGUUGGAGUUGGCCUUACAAGUGGGACCAUAGUUGAGGAAACCGACUAUCGACAAACCCCCACCUUGCCCGUCGCGCGAUGGCUGAAGUUAGAGAGAUGACGAGGUUGAAGAGAUUGCUCUAGCACGGACUCCAAGAAAUAAUAUGGUGUCAGAUGGAUGUCGUGGUGGUGGCGUGUGUCGUACUCCUGGACGUGAAUGCUUGUUCUGGCCCAUGCCACCCUACUACUCCUACUACUUACUAUAUACUACUAGUAUCGAGGAUUCGAGGUGCUGGUUACAUACAGCGAACACAUAUUAACAUAUGGCUACAGUAAAAACACCCGCCCGACGCGCGAAGCAUGUGAAGCUAGUACAAAUAGUGUACUACUAUUGUUGAUUGGCCUCAUCCGAUAACCUGUUGCAAUGCAUGUACAAUUAUGUAUUCGGAAAAUAUUUUUUUGCCUCGUCGCACCACUCACUCAGAGAAGCGACUUGAAAGCCAUUCAUAAAUUUAGUAAGUUUAUCACAGGCAUAUCAUUUUAUUACAUACAACAGGUCAUCAACCCACAUCGACAAUGAGGAUACAUUAUAAAUACUAAAGUUUUCACCACACAACAAAUAACUAGCAAUGAAAUGAACUUCAACUCAACCAUUCCUCGGUGUUGGAAACGCUUGCUUUGAUCCAAAAGUGAUUCUCUGGGACGGGCCAUCUAUUGUCGAUCUCGAGACCAAUGCAGGACUGAUCAUCCAGGCUGAAGUGGCCUACUAUAUCAGUACCAGGGUAGGGAACCACUGAAAUAUCCGAGGUAUAGACACAGUUUCUCCUCAUAAAUGGUACUAGUAACAUUGUGUCAACAGCAGUUGGAUCGCCUUUCACCAUCAUCAGAUAGUUUUGUCCAAGGAAGAGCGAGUUUUCUCCAAGACUAUCAAUUCUGUACCAGGGAGAAGGUGUUGGCUCCAGCACACUAGUAUCCAUCCCGAAUACCAUGCAACGGGUGUUGGAAUAGGUCCGGAGAGUGCGACCAUGGGAGACAACACGUGCUCCCUCGGUAGUAACAAACUCAGUGCGUUGUAUACACACAAGAAGAGGUGAUCCAUCAGAAUUAGUUGCCAGGCGCCAUUGAGUAUAUACGUUCUGCUCGUCCUCAUGCUCGUGAUCAUCACCAUCGUAAUCUCCCCCUUGGUUAUAAAAUUUUUCAAGUAUAGGUGGUGGAAUCUUCACAGGACCUUGGAAACACAAGAAGAAGGUUAAUUAGUAAAGGGAAACUUGCUAACCCGCAUGCAUGUGGAUGAAACAAUUAUAAUUACGGUGGAAGACGAACGUACUGAAAGUAUAAGGAUUCCAUGCAAAAACAGUGCCACGAGUGGUGGCAGCAAACACAAGGCCCUCGUAUUGAAUUACAUCACAGUACACAUCCGUGUAUAGAAACUGAUUUUUGAGCAAUAUCCAUCCAGUCGAACCACGAAGGACGGCAACAAGCUUGUCGAAGAUAGCAACAACUUCAUAGUUGUUUGUAAUUCCAAGAGCCGUUGGGAACUCGACAAAUUGCUAUCUUCCAUAGAAGACAAUCACCAUGAUCGUAUUUGAACGUGCGUACAAUACCCGUGUGCUCAACCUCUGGGCAGUCUGCUGAGAUUUUUGGAAGUGAAACCCGGUCACGAGUGUACACAUUCACAAGUUCCCACUCGCAGUUGGACCCAAUGUAAAAAACCCAAUCUCCAUUUGCGCCUGCCCAAUCCUUGCCCUCAAGCGAUAGCAUCUUAACAUCAUGUGUAUCAUUAUCAAGCGGCAUCAACUUGCAGAAGGCGAGGCCUCCAUCGUCCCCAUGCCAGUAGUCAUCAGGGUCACGACGAAGAAGAUAGGGGAGAUCAAACCGCUCCUUGACUCUUGGGUUCCUUGUAAUGAUGUUAUUAGUUGAGACAAGAAUGGGCUUGAAUGAACCUGCAAUGCUAGCCCAGGUGAUGACGUCACACCGAUCAAUGAGUUCCUCCACCGAGUCAUCUUUCAGAUUAGGGAAAGAAUAACGGGGUCAUUUCCGGCUUGUUCCCUCCAUGGAGAAGACGAGCGAACAAUGGCAGAAGAAAGGGUGAAGGGCUGAAGGAAAAUGGAGGAGGAAGAGGAAGAGUGUACGACAGCAGUUCCAAAUCGAGAGGGAAAGGCGAAGAGUCGGUGGACAGUUGUCAGUUUGCCACGGUUCAUGAAGAGGCGCCCCGGCCUACACGUCUGUUCAGAAAUACUACUACUCGUCGUCGUCUCACUAAUAUGUUGGAACGGGACCACAUGUCAACGAAACAUGGUGUGUAAUUUCUCGUGCAAAAUGCGGUAUGGCCGCGUUGGCCCGAGGUGCCGCACUAGUUUUUUUUGAAAGUUUGCCGCAUUAGUUAUCGAGCUUUAUUUUUUUAACAUGCAGUCCGAAUGGAUAGCUCCUGUGGUCAUUACACGUGAGAGGAUAUAGUGAUGGUUGAUUCACUCGAGCAACUUAUUACUGUGGGAAUAUGGGAGUAGCAGCAGAUUCAAGGAACAGAGAAAUGAUGGUUGCUUCAUCCGAGCAACUUACUGUGGCGAAGGUGGGGCUCUGUGAUUUGACUGCUCACUAGUCAUUACUACUGCGGUGCAACGACCGGGGUGAAUCUUUCCCUCAAGUUGUGUUGUGCACUCAAUAUUGCUGCAUGGCAGGUGGAGCCGGAUGAAGGAUGUCCAACAUGUCGGCGAAACAAAGUUGAAUUGUUUCUGGCAUUGCUAUCAAUCCUUCAGGAUUUGUUUAUAUGUACGCAUAAUUUUGAUGAAAUUGUACUGUGAUGCUAUGAAGGUUUCAACUUUGGUUCCCGCGGGAAAAAAGGUUUCAACUUAGGAUUCAUGUGUCUUGCCUCGAGAUUAUCUCGUUACAACAUUCCAUCAAAUACAAAUGAAACUACCAUGGCUAAUGCAUCUCAAUGGUUCGCAGAUCAGCGCCAAUAUUCACAUCACAACUAAAGGCAAAGUUGUGAGAAGGUGUACAAAUAAAGAAAAAUAAUAAUUGAUUGUUGUUGUUCGUAGGCAUGGCUCCAUUUCCUUGGCAUAGUGUUCAUUGCUUGGCAGCUAGUUUCACCCAGCUCUCUAGCAAAAAAAGAGGUGUAUGAAGGACACCACAAUCCGAUCAUUUUGUGCAGCUCCACUAAAAUCGAGCGGACCAUCCCUGUUUGCAAAGAUAUCCAGUCAGUGUGAUUACAAUAAUAGUGGAACUAGAUGAUGAAACAUAACACACAUAAAUAGAAGCCGAUCACCUCUACGAUCUCUCUUUAGGACUAAAUUCUUGUUGGAGAAGCUUAGGCACGGAGUUGGAUGAGGAGGAUAGCAAAACCAAUCUCCCUUUCCGCAGUCCCACAGAAAUGUAAAAAUGUUGCCCGUGUGACAUUUUGGCGGAACUGCACAAAACACUCUUCAGAAAAGUGAUUUGUGCAGUUCACCAAAAGGUCGCAAUAGCAACGAGGAGAAAAUGGAUAGCCCUGUUUGCAAAAGGAGGUCGAAAGGAAACAAUUACUGCCCAAUAACACGAGUUGAAGACACAUACGCCGACAAAAAAGAAGCAUGUUCCAUGUAAUAAGGGAAAGAUAGCACAUGGUGGUUUAUCAAAAAUGGUUUGAGGAGGAGAUUGCAAGAUGGAAAGUACGCCGGUCGAGAUACGAUUUAAGCAAACAACUAAAGAAGAUCCACAUGUAGCAACGUGGGAAGAUGGGCAGUGGAGCAAGGUCGGAGGAAGUUGUACUUGAGGGUCGUCGGGAUGUUACUAGGAGGGUGCCGGCGACCGGGAUCUACCCAUACUGCGGCAGCGAGCAAGUGGCGAAGGCCCUACCGCGUCGGAGCUUGGUCAGAGAGAACGACGGGUACCGCACAUCGGGACGUGCUGCCUCAACGCUGUCGAAUGGAGAGACGAUGCACAUCCUCCCUUUCAGCCGGCGGACGGGAUGCAGCCGGAUCACUGACCAACGCUGAGAGAGAGAGGCCAUGGCAGCCUUGUGUGAGAUGGUGUGAUGAGAGACAAACCCAUUUUUCCAUUUUCCCCACGGCAAUCGUUUUAUAUUCUGUACGUGCCAUUGAGGAAUAUAUAACUUUAUUUAAUGCUAACGUGUCAAGUCGAACUUUAUUCCGUCUAGGCGUGGUACCCGACCCUCCUUCGAGUAAACAACCGCUACACGCGUCAAAUUAUCACGUGGGCUGCCUUUUCGUACAGAAACGAACUCCACCGUGUACCCGCACGGGUGUGGCCGGGAACGAGAUGUGAGUACGUGUGUCCCGCGUGCACUUCUCCUUUAGGUGCAGGUACAUACGUGGGUGGGUGUGAGAGAGAUGGUUUGUGCAAAACAGAGGCAAUGUGUUGAUGAUAUCUCAAUCAGAAAAACGUAACAUAUGCAAUGUGUGUGAAACAGAGUCAUGGACGUGAGAUAUCGAUAGAAUUGAAAACAAGGAUGAAGUGUGUGGCUGCGCGAUCGAUAAAGAGUGCCAUCGAAUUUGUCUUUGCCCAUGUCAAAGAUACAGGGCGGCUGGCCUACUGGAAUUUGAGAGGGCAGAGGUGCAGUUUUUCUCCAUGGCAUGGAUACCUACCUACAAUGUUCGACUAUCGGUGUGUGGGGGGGGGAGGGGGUAGAGACCGAUCGACUAGUAUAUGUGUGGGGAAGGAGAGAGACCUAGCUAUGUAUUGAGGGAUAUCGAUCGACAUCCAUGGAUAUGUGUAGCAGAGAAAUAAGGUUGGGAAAAAGACAAAGGUAGAGCGUCGGAGGGUUGGUGGUGGAGUGGCGUCUCACAAAUGGUGGGAGAGGCCUGCUAGACAAACAGAGGGUAUGAGUGCAAUAUCAAUAAGAGAAAGCGGGGGAUGUCCGUCUGUCUAUGCACGUGCGUGUGAGAGACGGGUCGGGAGGUAUUCAAGGAUGAUGAGGGGAGAAGAUAUGGUUGUGGUAAGCAUACGUAACUACACAGGAAGAUCAACCGUCGUGUGUCCGAGAAAAGGAGAGACAUAACUAGCGAGGUAAGCGUAUCGGGGCUUGGUAAAAACGAAUUAUAGUCGACCUGGCUAUAUGUAGGGAGAUCAGUUCAUAUACACGUCUGCAUGUGUUAGAAGCAAAUAAGGUUCGGAGAGGCAGACAUGGGGAGAGGGUGUAGCUUGGAGGUGGUGCGAGAGGCCUACCAUGUCGAGGGGGAGGAGUGUGCGAGUAUGUGAUCAAUGAAAAGAGGGGCGGGAGUGUGCACAUGCGUGGAAUCGUAUUGGACAUAGGGGGCAUGGACGGUGAGAAGAGAAGAGGGGAAGUAUAUAUGUGUUUGUUGUAGGCACACUUGGCUAGAGAGGUAUAUCGACUGGUGUGUGCCGGAAAGAAGGAGCCGGGGGCCUACACACACCGCUGGUAGACGACCUAAAGAGAAAUAAUGAACGUGCGCGAUGGAGGGGACGCUAAGGGUGUGUGAGAGGGGGCCGGGCGUGUGCAUGCACGAUAGAAAUUUAGCGCUAGCUAUCUACAAAUAGAAGAGGAUCGUGAAGGUGUAAAAGACGAACAAAGAUCAUAAUUCAUUAUAAAAAAGUGGACACAGAUACUUGAAGAAGAUAUCGUAAUGUAGAACAUUGAUUAUAAUUUGGGCUAAUGCGUGGCUUUUGCAACUCGGGUCUAAAUACUUGUCACAAUGUAGGGGGCGGGGCACUAUACUUUGUGUGAUAAACACGGUGUACGUAUGGAACAUGGUUUAGAUUAUGAAUAUAUAUUUAGUACAUCAAAUGUACUAUUAUUUGGAAUCAACAUCAAGUGUAUUCAAAAAAUAGAAUUAGAGUUCAUGUAGUACACAUAGUUCAUAUCUAUCUCUAUAGUAAUCAUGUGGUGUGUUAUUAAGGUAAUACACGAAUGAUGGUUGAAGUUGGCAACAAUCAUGAUUGUAUAUUCUUAUUGAAAUAGAGAAAUGAAUUCGAAUUUAGUUCGAAUUGCAGCGGUAGUAUAGACAUUUGGAAUGCACUAAAAUGUUGGUAUGAGUAGGUUACAUGCAUUAUACAGCAAGCGGAAAAAUUUAAUCGGACAUAACAUGGAUUCAUACUCCCUCCUUCCAUCUAUAUAAGGCGUAAUGAGAUUUUUAAGACCGCCUUUGACUAUUGACAAGAUUAAUAGUACAUGACAUGCACAAUGUGAAAAUUAUAUCAUUGAAAGAACCUUUCAUAGAUGAAUUUAACGGUGUGCUUUGUGUAAGCUCAUGUCAUAUAUCAUUGCUCUAAUAUUUGGUCAAAGUUAGCAUUGAAAAACGCAUUAGGCCCUAUAUAGAUGGAAGGAGGGAGUAGCUUUGAAUAGCAUUUGUAUAGUAAAAUGGGGCAAGACUCUCUCUUUGUGUGGUGUGAAUAGUUUUAUUUUUUCGUUUUCUUUUUGGUUGAGGGAAGUGCAAAUUGAUUUGGUACGUACAAGUACAAUAUUACUACACGUUAGGCUUGUCCCUAAAAUUCAACUUGCGUCUUGUUAUAUCCCGAAAAUUCAGAUAUCGUGCUCCCAAAACUGGCGCCUUCACAACCCGCGCCUUGCUAUCCCGAAAUUACAACGUGCGCGAAAACUCCCUCUAGCUGCCAAAUCCCGACACGUGAAAUCCCCCUUCUAACCCUGAGCCGAAAGGGCCGCUAGUUCAAAUUGGUGGGGGGAACUUUUGUAACACACCCUACAUUUUGGACAAGCGCGUCCCUAAGUCAUGCUUCACCCCCUCCCAUUGCCCCCUUUUCGCCAUUCGAAAUCCCAGGCCGCCAUAACCUCUCCGCUCCAGCCGUGAAACCCCACCCUCCUCCGUUCGACACGUCAUCGCUACCCAGCCGGAGCCUCUUCCCCGACGAUGUCGUCCACCGCAAUAGCUCGACGUCCCUCAUCCACCUCCCCGGAUGAGGAUCCGUCAUCCAUCUCGCCGUCCCGCCGGUUCAACCGCCCCAUCCUCCACCUCCAAGGAGCUGCUCUGACGAUUGCCUCGUCUAUCACGGCUGCUCCAUCCCCACAGCGCCGCCUUAACCUACUCUACCGGAACCGCAACAUCCUCACCGACUCCUCGGACGAAGCCAAGGCCUACUCGGCGCCACCAAAGAGGUUGUACACUCAUCGCAUCGCACCUUCUCCUUAACUCGACCUCCCGGCACCGACGGUGCUCCAUCCCGCACCCCCAUGGAGCGACUACCUUGAAGCCGGCGCCAUGGGCAACAUCUCCAAGGUGGCUCUCCCCCAGUGUGAGGCCCCUUCGGAGGCGGCGGCCAUACUAGUCGGAUCUGCUGCUGCUGCUCCAGCUCUCGCUCGCUCGCUCGCGCUGCUGCUGCUGCUCUCGCUCUCGCUCGAUCGCUCGCUCGCCCAGCUGCUGCUACUCUCCCCCUCGCUCGUACUGCUGCUCUGCUCCUAUUUAGCCACACUUCAAUCGACUGAAUCGAAUUUUGGGUCAGUCGAUUUUCAGGGGUGGGGGGGGCUCGCCGGAGUUAAGGAAGAACCACCCGCAGCGGGGACGGGGGCUCGCCGGAGAGGUACCCCGCUAUCUAUCUUAGGGUCUAGGGUGGGGGUGGGGGGCCUAGAGGGCUGGCUGGGGCAGCGAUGGGAAGUUGUUUCGAGGCGGCGAGGCGGUGCUGGGGCCGACAGUUCGGCCGGUGGUGGCUGGCGGCUCAAGGGGGUGCAGGUUGAAGAUGAACUCCAGGCCCUCCCUAAACUACAUGUCAAGCGCCUCUCUGCUACCAUUGCGUUCAGUUUCGACAGUAGCAUUCAGAUUCCACAGUAAAUUUCAGUUUCCACAGUUAAGUUCAGAGUCAACAGUUUUUACCUCAUAUGUUGUAGUCAGGUAGUUUUUGGUGAUGUUAAUUUUAUAUCCAUUUUACAUCAUCUAUUGGAGAUGCUAUUAGAAUCCCACUUGAGAUUGACGAUGUCUAUCUUGUGCUACUUCAGCCUUGACGUCUUACGGCUCACCAGAGCUGCUCCAAUGACAGAACGAUCCAUCACAACAGAGCAGUGCCCUGGACGCCAUCUACAGAUUCCUCAGAUCUUCCUCCACACCUCCGACAGCCACCUCUGCCUCAACUGCUUCAAUGACCAACCCAAUGAUGUUGAGGUCGACACGGCUACGGCAAAGAUGUUGUACACUUGUUGCAUCACUUAUUACUAUACAUUCACGUUGAUCCAUUAGGGCUAUUUUGGUUCAACGGAAAAACAUAGCAAUAGGGAAUUUUUCAAUGGCACUCUACUAUUCAAUUAUUCAUGCAUUUUGUUGAAAGGAAUGAAGCAAAACAUCCACCUGGACCUACUUUUCAAAAUCCUAUGAAUGAAAACAAGACCAAGUGCAUUAGUACCAGAAUAACAUUCUAACUGUACACGCUUUCUUAUGGUUUCACUUUAUUUUGGCCAUGUUUAUUUGCACUCCUCUGCUCUUCCAAUUCCUGUAAACCAAACACCCAAGUUGACAAAAAUCUUGUGUUUACAAAUGCUCUAUUUACCAUGUGCAUUUUCCUAUCCUAUUCCGGUGUUUUCCUAUCCCUGCGUUUUAAGACUCAUGCAAGCCAAAUGAGCCCUUACAGAAUUACUUCAGUUACAGGUACGUGUCGAAGGGAACUUUGUGUGGUUUGUCCUGCUCCUUCCGCGACGUUGUCCACCUCACUUGAGCUACUCCAUCGACAGAAGUAUCCACCAAACCAGACAUCACGACUCCUGAUCGUCUUUCGCUGCCUCAGAUCUCCUUCACUGCUGCUGACACCCACCGCAACGGCAUCACCAUCAUCGGCUCAGCAGAUGAACCUAAGGAGUACACGGGUCCACAAGAGAGGUCGCACUCUUUUGUUUCUGCUUAUGUUAUGCAUUUCUUAAACUUACAUACUACCUUAUUGUCCUGUUCAGCUGUUGGACUCCCAAUUCAGGUCCAAAUUAAUGUUCAAACUUGAGUUCUAAAUUAGUUGUGGGGCACAUAUCGAGGCAGCAAUGAAUAGUAUGUCUGUCUAAUAUCCGGUUCACCUAGUGUCGUGGAAAUAUCACGUCAGAUGUCCUCGUGAAAGGACUUAGUCGUGGAGCCAUCGCGACGGGUUAGCUUAAAGGGGUUAAACCAGACAAAGGACACGAGGGAUUUUAUACUAGUUCAGCCCCUUCGAUGAAGGUAAAGGCUUACGUCUAGUUGUGAUGGGAUUAUUGGGGUCUCGAUAACCAGGGAGCUAAACACGCUAUGCCUGGCUCUCGAGUUGUUGUUUCUUGUCCCUGAACCGCCGCCGGGUCGUCCCCUUAUAUACACGGGUUGAUGCCCGGCCGGUUUACAGAGUCCCGAGGCCGACUCAUACAAGUGUCCGGCUCGGUCUCUCCUUUCCUUAUCUUACAAUACAAGUUACAUGACUAUGGCGGUUUACCACUAUGGGCCCUAAUCCGCCUUUGGGCUCCUGGCCUCUAAGCUUCAUAGUAAAGCGCCAUCUUCUGGGUCUUCGUGGGCUUCAAUAUAGUUGAGUGUGAACCGGCCCCUCCUAGGAGGUUUACACUCAGUAGUUAUAUCCCCAACAUUAGGCCCAAGAUUGAUUUGAACCUGUUCAUGUCAAUCUUCAAUACUUAGCAAAAUCAUGUGAACAUCUUCCUUCAUUUCUUGUAAACCGCCACGAUGUCUUCUUUUAUAAACUUUGUUAAACCGCCGUGACGUCAUCCUCUGGACACAGCAACGGAUCAUCAUGACGUCAUCUCUGUAAAAAAACAAUAAAAAGAUUCCCUUCAUUUAAUGGCAUCCCGAAAAUCGAGGUAACAGCUACGCCCCUUGCCGCUUUGGACUCCUCGAUUCUCGCACCUGUCGCUUAUCUUCUGCCUCAUUAUAAAUAAACCCGAAGGGUCCUUCCAUUUUCUCCCCUUUCUUAUCGUCUUCCUCCUCGCGACCCGAAGAGCCCGAGCACCACUGCCGCCAUCGACCUUUAAUCUGCACCGACCAAGGCUGCUGCAUCACCCUGUUCGUACCAGAAACUCUACGACACUCCUCCGUCACCGAGUGACCCUGGUAAGUUCUCUUUCCUAUAACCCUAGAUCUCCAUAGGGCUUUGAGUUCAUCCGUGUUCAUCGCCGUUCAUCAGUGCUUCUCUGCCCUUCUCUUCGCCUUUUUACUGAGUUUAUAUGCACCUGAUAGUUUUGAUCUACGGCUAGAUCCAUAGUGUUAGUUCACCAUACCAUAGCGUCUUGCUAUUCCUAGACAGACUCCAUCUGGAUUUUCCCUAUUACUCUUAGCGCCAUUUAGGGCUCAGGAAAGUUUUCUUUAUUUAACCACGGUAGAUCCAAAAUUUUACUGCCAUCUUGUGAAACCUGUUUCUAUAAACACUUAGAUAUUCAGCUCCGCCUCUUUUAUUUAAGGGCGGUUUAACUUUCAGUAGUAUUCCAUCCGCCAUACGCCAUUAGCCCUCACUUAAACUGCCAGCUUUGACUUGAACAGCAAAUUUCCGGUUUAACACUGAUUAGUACACUUAAACCGUCAAUCAUAAACCGGCCUUCAUUUUUCCUUUACAGUUUGCUUUCCAAGAUGACCAAACAAUUCUCUGCUUGCACUUGGGUUCCAUCCCGGUUCACGGAGACACAAAUCAAUGGAUACGUUACCACUGGCGCUUUAGCUUCAAAAAGGGUCCUGCAUUGGCGAGUCCCGGGCCCUGAGUGCCCUCCUGAGCCUCAAGAUGGAGAGGUGAUUGUAUUUAUGAAACACUUGGACCGGGGGUUCAGCCCGCCUGGAUCAAAAAAUUUCUGAGAUGUCCUUGCGAGCCUUCAACUCCAUCCACAAGAUAUUGGACCGAAUUCCGUGUCCAAUAUAUGCAAUUUUCAAGUGUUCUGUGAAGUUUACCUUCAAGAAGAACCAUCUGUGGAGCUUUUUCGGGAUUUUUUCCAUUUAAACCGCCGCACGGAGUUCUCUGAUGGUCCCAACACAGAACUUGGUGGGGUAUCAAUCCAGAAGAGAAAAUAAGUUGAUUUUCCUCAUGCAAAACACCACAGCCAUCCUAAAGAUUGGAACCAAACUUGGUUUUAUUGCCGGAAUACUGCCCCUGCUAGAGAAAAUCCUCUGCCGGGUUACGGCCCUUACCGGCUUAGCAACGGCCACCCGUUACCUCUACGCUUAACUGCCUCAGAACAGAAAACUUAUGCACCUCAAAUCACCAAGCUCCGGGCUCUCUUGGCCAAUGGUCUGACUGGUAUUGAUCUCGUCCGCUGCUGGGUUUCUUGGGGUAUUCUGCCUUUAAGUCGCCGCCCCGGAUUGAUGCAUAAAUAUACUGGUAACAUCAAGGAUCCUCAACGAUAUCAGGAAAUAGAAAUGACGGAUCUUGAAAUCGUUGAAUCUGUGAAGAAGAUGCUUGAUGAACCGACCGCCGCAUGCAGCCAAAUCGGGUUGCCUCCUUUUUGCGCCACCAACAAACCACCAGCGGUAAAGUUUAACUUAAUGCUCACUGAUUCGCCUCUGCUUUAACAAUGUGCUAAUGCUCAUUUGUUUUAAUUUUGCAGGCCAACAACUCCUUCUGGAAAUGGACUAAACCGGCUAGGGCUCCUCGUGCAAAGAGCAAGGUCACCAAGAAAGCUGGCAAGAAGAAAACCACCGAGUCUUCUGAUCCGCUGGAAGACAUUGACGAAUCAGAUCCAGAGGUAGAACUUGAUUCACUUGGUUCCUUUUUCAUACACCUUAUUGACAAUGAAUAUUCCUAGGAUGAUGCGGCAGCCAGUCGUGCAGACCAUGUUGAGGUAAUCUCUCUUUCUUCCGAUUCAGAUCUUGUGCCGGUUCAAAGAUUUCGCCGUGCAGUUCGGAAAGUAAAAUACUCUCACCCUCUUGCUUAUUUGGAUCCAAAAUUUUCUUUAAAGACACAGCAAGCUGAAGAACGUCGCACAACCCGGCAUAGUGGCCAGCAAAUCACUUCUUCCGGUUUACCGGAUACACCAACCCAGAAACGUCGUCCAGAGGUUACUUGUUAUCCCGAAAAACUUUAUCCUUUGAAGGGUUUCUUCAAAUACCCACUUAAUCCGUCUGAUCCGAAUUACCAGGCGUCUUCCAAUUCGUCUGGCGGUUCAUCAACCACUCAGCUGCCUCCCCUUAAAACCGUCCCUAGGUAAGUAUAUUGUCCUUCAUGUUUUUCCUUCACAGUUCAGUCUACCGUGCUAAUCUUUGUUUUGAUGUCACAGUGCCAAAGCCCGCUUGAGAAAGAAGGAUAAAACUAGUACCCCUAUUGGUGAAGUUGAACGAAGAGGACUACUGAGGAGACCGGUAGAAAUACCGAUGCUAUGGAUGAUUCCACCCCACAAGGUGAGAACACUCAAGCUAAUCCACCGAAAGCUGACCCGGCCAUUUAUAUUGAUCCGUCGAGCCCUCAUGCUACUCCUCCAAGCCCAACUGUUGAUCCGCCGAGCCCAGCUGCUAAUCUGCCAAGCCCAGCCAGGGGUACCAUCAAUCCUCCAAGUCCACCAAAAGGAGAUGAUGAUGAUGUUGUCAUUACUGGCACGGCUCACACCAGUCCUGGUAAUCCGGUUGUCUUGGCCAAACAUACUGCCAAGGAGGAAUUCACUGCUAUGGGAAAGGGGAAAGGGAAGACAGAUUUAUCCAACUUCAUCAACCUUAGCACCGAGGAACUUCAUUCCGGUUUUUUAAACCGCCUUUACACCAGCCGUGAUUUUGAAGCCGGUUUGGUGAACCUGAUGAAGGAGCGUUAUGAGGUACUCUUCAUGAACACUUUGAAACUUACUCUAUUCUGUAUAUCUUUUCCAUUAUAGCCCCCAAGGGCCGGUUUAUCUCUUGAAGAUAAACUGGGACUUCAAUAUAAAGAAUAUUUCAACGUAGUAGCCCCCAAGGGACGGUUUGUCUUCUUGAAGACAAACCGGGACUGUCUGUCCUUGUUAAUUGCCUUAUGACUGAUCACUUGUGCAUUAGCCCCCAAGUGCCAAGCUUAAUACCUGGAUUGAGCCUUGGGACUUGAAAAAUACUCACUUUAAAAAGCAAUCCACAUUAGCCCCCAAGUGCCAAGUGUAUAACCUGUUAUGUGCUUGGGACUUUAAGAGAUUUUAACUGUUGUACCCUCUGACUUUGCAGGAUGAUAUAAAGACCAAAGAGUCCCAAACCGCUGAUCUUCAAGAAAUCAUUAAGUCCCAGCAAGAAGAGACCUCUAAAGCCAAAGAGGGUCUUAAGAACGCUUUGACUGACAUGGAACAGCUGAAAGAGAGUUUCAAAACUGAGCGCGCCAAUUGGGAAACGGAAAGAGCUGCUUUGUUGAAACGGGCUGAAGACGCCAAAGCAGCCCUUAAACCGGUGGAGGAGGAGCUGACGGGUCUGAAACAUCAAGUGAAUUCCAUGACAGCUGCAGUUUUUGGUAACUAUUUUAUAAUAACUUGCUUCUGCAGUACUAUCAACUUCCGCCGGUUUAACAUUGAAUUCUUAAACUGUCGCAGGCAAUCGCAUUGCUCAUCUUGGAGCGGAUAUGAGGAUGAAAUUAAAGGCAGCUUAUACGUUGAUUGAGCAGUUGUAUACUGGUGCACAAUGGGUUAUCUCUGCUGCUUCAUAUAACAGACCGGCCCCCACCUUGAUCAAGGAUACCUUGGCCAGGCUCUCAAUGACUCCUGCUGAGAUAGAGCAGGUGAAGCGAUCAGCUGCUAGGGCAGGCGCUUUACUGGCACUGACUUGGGCUAAAGCAUGGAUAUCUGACUUGGAUCCAGUUGAUAUCGCCAAGGGAUUUCCGGAUGAACAAGCAGACGGAUCAGCAUUUGAUAAUGAAACCCUCAAAGCUCUGACAAAGGAGAUGCGUCCGCUAUCCAGUAAACUUGUUGUAGAGGCUAACCUGACGGUUCAUCGGUCUUUUUAUGAUGAAAGGAAUCAGCAGGUUGAUACAACUGUGACAGAAGCACAAAACCUUAUCCCGCCAAUUCGUAAGCACACUUACGCCCCUGAUGUUGACCCGUCCAAUCUGAUAAGUGAAGAAGCUGUCUUUCAGGCUCUAACCCGGAUUGACUGGACCACCCUUGACUUCCAGCCUCUUGGUGGAGAGGAGGAGGUUGAACCGGCGCCUGAAGAUCCUUCAAAUUCACGUCGUCCUGGCAAUGAGUCUUAAUCCGGCAUUCGUGUUUCUUUGACAAACUUUGUUGUGUAAGAACAAUCAGCAUUUUGGGCCUCAAAGCGCCUUGUAAUAGGCUAGUUAAAACUCUUUGAUCUGUUGCGCUGAUGCAAAACUUUGUUGAACCGCCAUGAUACAUGCGAUGUUUGAUUAUAUUUUGACAAUGUCAUGCGAUCCGGAAGCCUGCAUAUAGAAAAUUUGUCCUGGCGGUUUACCGCCGGACGGGUCAUAAUGCCCAGGAUAAAGCCUCAUUGAUAAUCACACCUUAAUAAAUAUGAAAUAACUCAUACCUGUGAUGUGACAUCACUUAGUUGGUUUACCAACUUUGAUUGUAAUAAGGGUGAAGACCCAAAUCUUGUGUUUGUAUAACUCCCACCAUAUAAUGAUGUCGUAUAAUAAGUAAUGUCGAGUUACAAUGAACACCAGAUGAUCAAAACUGGUGACAUGUAGUCAAAGCCAGGCCGGGUUAACAAACUCCGGUUUGAUAUAAGGUCUGUCAACUUGUAGUUGAAAACCAAGCCGGGUUAACAAACACCGGGUUUAAUAUGAUGACUGAAAAGCCAUACCGGAUCAAAGAUACCGUUUCAACAUAGAAUUUUUCAAAAGAAAAUAAAUAUUGACAAAGGCAAAUAAAACCGUGUAGUCGAGGCUUUUCGAGGGCUGCCAGGCCGCUGAGUUAAACCAUUUGACAAAGCCUUUUAAGAUGGGCCUCCAACUAACCAAUCACCUUUUUAACUUUGACAAGUUCAGGGUCUCAAUGAGAGUAACUGUCAAACAUUCGGCGGGUCAUGCCGGGAUUACCUGGAUAGGAGUGGCUUACUUGAUGAAGGCAGGUUAACCCGGGGUUUUAGGUAAAUAUACCAGGCUUCCAAGCCGUGGGUCGAUACCCAGCUACAAGGGUCCUUUCAAACUCUUUGUUACUUUACACAAAGAGCCCCCAAGUAACUUGAUGAGUUAUGCUCAUUGGGUGCCUAUGUUUGAGUUGUGCAUAGCAUCCAGACUCUCUUUGGCCCCUUGGGUGUGAAGCUCCCAGGCUGUAUUGUGGCAUGAUAGCCAGUUUAACAGGUAGUACUCCGCUUUGUCAGCUGAAGCCCCCAUGUAACUCAAAGGUUAUUUGAGAAAAAAACAGCAGAGGCCCUGCUUAUAGCAAGGAUGCUGGUUUAUUUUAUUGAUCAUAAUAUAUACAUUGUCGAAAUAUGUACAUAAGAGAAGCCUAUGGCUCAAGUGUAGUAAGGCCGUAGGAGAGCUAUGUUCCACAGCCGCCAGGUCUCCUCCUCAGAACUGCAUGAGUUGUCUCGAACGUCAAUGAGGUAGUAUGACCCGUUGUGCAGAUUCUUGCUGACCACAAAGGGUCCUUUCCAAGGUGGGGAUAACUUGUGCAUAUCGGUCUGAUCCUGGAUGAGCCGAAGCACCAAGUCACCUUCUUGAAAGGUUCUUGUCUUAACCCAGCGGCUGUGAUAACGCCGCAGGUCUUGCUGAUAAACCGCCGAAUGAGCCAAAGCCAUAUCCCGUUUUUCAUCUAACAGGUCCAACGCCUCCUGGCGUGCUUGCUCAUUGUCCGCUUCAACAUAAUUGGACACCCGGGGCAAAUCAUGACUAAUAUCACUUGGGAGGACCGCCUCUGCCCCAUACACCAUGAAGAAAGGUGUGUAACCCGUCGAUCUGUUGGGGGUGGUGUUGAUACUCCAUAACACAAAAGGAAAUUCUUCCACCCAACAGCCCGGCAUCCGCUUUAAAGGAACCAUGAGGCGGGGUUUGAUACCCUUAAAGAUUUCUUGAUUAGCUCUCUCCGCUUGACCAUUGGACUGGGGGUGCACCACAGAUGCUAAGUCAAACCGGAUGUGCUCUCUCUGACAAAAAUCCUCCAUCUCACCUUUAGAAAGGUUUGUACCAUUAUCCGUGAUAAUGUUGUGUGGAAAGCCAAAGCGGAAGAUGAUCUUCUUGAGAAAUUGAACCGCCGUAGCCGCAUCACACUUGGUGACAGCUUCCGCUUCAACCCAUUUGGUGAACUUGUCAACCACCAGCAGCAGGUGGGUCUUCUUAUCCUUGGAACACUUAAAGGGUCCCACCAUAUCAAGCCCCCAAGUGGCAAAUGGCCAAGUGAUGGGAAUCAUCCUUAAUUCUUGAGCCGGAACAUGAGCUCUGCGUGAAAACUUUUGACAAGCAUCACACUGCUUUACCAGAUCCUCCGCAUCAGCAUGAGCUGUCAACCAGUAGAACCCAUGACGAAAAGCCUUAGCAACCAGGGACUUUGAACCGGCAUGAUGGCCACAAUCCACUUUAUGAAUUUCCCGUAGGAUCUCUUGGCCUUCUUCCGGAGAAACACAACACUGAAAUACGCCUGAAAUGCUACAGCAGUGUAACUCGCCAUUGUGAAUGACCAUGGACUUGGAUCGCCGGACUAUCUGCCGGGCCAGGAAUUCAUCAUCUGGUAACUUGCCUCGGUUCAUAUAUGCCAGAUAUGGAACCGUCCAAUCCGGCACAACAUGUAAAGCGGCCACCAAUUGGGCCUCCGGAUUAGGAACAGCUAAAUCCUCCUCUGUAGGCAACUUAACACACGGGUUACGCAAGAUAUCUAAAAAGGUAUUGGGAGGUACCGGUUUACGCUGAGAUCCCAGCCAGCUUAAAGCGUCUACUGCUUCAUUUUUGCGCCGAUCGAUAUGUUCAACCUGAUACCCUUUGAAGUGACCCGCCACAAUAUCCACCUCACGUCUGUAAGCCGCCAUGAGUGGAUCCUUAGAAUCCCAAGUGCCAGAGACUUGUUGAGCCACCAGACCAGAGUCUCCAAAGCAUCGUACCCGGCUUAAAUUCAUCUCCUUGGCCACACGGAGCCCAUGGAGCAAAGCCUCGUACUCAGCUGCAUUGUUAGUAUAGGGGAACAUUAAACGGAGGACAUAACGAAUUUUAUCACCUCGAGGGGAAGUAAGGACAACUCCAGCCCCGAGCCCUCCAAUUGCCUGGAUCCAUCAAAGUGAAUAGUCCAGUAUGUAUUAUCUGGUUUGUCCUCUGGUGCCUGUAACUCGGUCCAAUCAUUGAUAAAGUCAACAAGUGCCUGAGAUUUGAUGGCUGUUCGAGGCACAUAUUUCAAACCAUGUGGACCAAGCUCAAUCGCCCACUUUGCAACCCGGCCAGUUGCCUCCCUGUUCAGAAUUAUAUCACCCAAAGGAGCUGAACUGACAAUUGUAAUGGGAUGGCCUUGAAAGUAUUGUUUGAGAUUCCGACUUGCCAUAAAAACUCCAUAUACCAGCUUCUGCCAAUGCGGAUAUCGCUGUUUUGACUCGAUAAGCACCUCACUGAUAUAGUAAACCAGCCGUUGAACCGGAUAUUCCUUACCAGCCUCCUUGCGCUCCACCAUAAUUGCCACACUGACAGCACGGGCAUUAGCAGCCACGUACAAUAACAAGGGCUCUUUGUCAACCGGGGCAGCAAGGACCGGUGGUUCAGCCAACUGCCGUUUCAAGUCUUCAAAUGCUGCAUUAGCCGCAUCACUCCAAACAAAGGAGUCUGUUUUCUUCAACAUCUGCUAUAGAGGGAUCACCUUCUCUCCCAAGCGGCUAAUAAACCGGCUUAGGGCUGCAAUUCGGCCUGCGAGACGCUGAACAUCAUUGACGCAUGCCGGUUUAGCCAAAGAUGUAAUGGCUUUGUUCUUCUCCGGAUUAGCCUCAAUGCCUCUGUUGCACACCAGAAAACCUAAGAGCUUGCCUGCCGGAACACCGAAAACACAUUUGUUCGGAUUGAGCAUCAUCUUGUAAACACGCAGGUUGUCAAAGGUCUCCUUGAGAUCAUCUAUCAAUGUCUCCUUUUUCCUGGACUUUACCAUAAUGUCAUCAACAUAGGCAUGAACAUUGCACCCAAUUUGAGUGUGAAGACAAUUUUGCACACAGCGCUGAUAAGUUGCCUGGGCACUCUUGAGCCCAAAGGGCAUAGAAACAUAGCAGAAGGCUCCAAAGGGAGUGAUGAAGGCGGUCUUCUCCUGGUCCUUAACUGCCAUUUUGAUUUGAUGAUAGCCUGAAUAAGUAUCCAAGAAACUUAAACGCUCACAACCCGCCGUCGCAUCAAUGAUCUGAUCAAUAUGCGGGAGAGCAAAAGGAUCAGCUGGACAAGCUUUGUUCAAAUCUGUGUAGUCCACACACAUGCGCCAAGUGCCGUUUUUCUUAAGAACAAGCACCGGAUUAGCCAACCACUCAGGGUGAAACACUUCAACGAUAAACCCAGCAGCCAACAGCCAGGCUACCUCUUCACCAAUUGCCUUCCGUCUCUCCUCGUUAAAGCGAUGCAGAAAUUGCUUGACCGGUUUAAACUUGGGAUCAAUAUUGAGAGUGUGCUCAGCGAGUUCCCUCUGUACACCUGGCAUGUCAGAAGGCUUCCAUGCAAAAAUGUCCCGGUUCUCACGGAUGAACUAGAUGAGCGCGCUUUCCUAUUUCGGAUCCAGAUUUGUGUUGAUGCUAAACUGUUUGGAUGAAUCGCCAGGAACAAAGUCAACGAGUUUAGUCUCAUCAGCCGGUUUGAAUGUCAGGUUCAGGUCAUGCUCAGUUGUGGGCUUCUUCAGAGGGGUCAUAUAUGUCGGAUCAACAUUAUCUUUAUAGAACUUCCACUCCUAUGUAGCACAAACUGACUCAGCAUAGGCUGUGUCUCCUUCUUCGCAAUCCAAAGUGAUCUUCCGACUUCCGUGAACCGUAAUGGUCCCUUUGUGACCCGGCAUCUUGAGCUGCAAGUAAAUAUAACAAGGCCUUGCCAUGAACUUUGCACAAGCCGGUCGCCCAAAUAGUGCGUGGUACGGGCUCUGGAUCCUCACUACUUCAAAGGUCAAUGUCUCAGACCGGGAGUCAUGUUCAUCACCAAACACAACCUCCAAAGCGAUCUUACCAACAGGAUAUGCCGAUUUACCUGGUACCACACCAUGGAAAAUAGUGUUUGGUGGUUUAAGACUCUUGUCUGUCAACCCCAUGCGACGGAAGGUCUCAUAAUACAUAAUGUUGAUACUGCUCCCUCCAUCCAUGAGCACUUUGGUGAACUUAUAACCUCCCACCUGAGGUGCCACCACCAAAGCCAGGUGACCCGGUUGUCAACCCGGGGCGGAUGAUCCUCUCUGCUCCACACAAUAGGUUGCUCGGACCACUGCAGGUAACGUGGUACAGUCGGUUCAACAGUAUUAACAGCCUCUUGUGAAGCUUCUGAUCACGCUUGCACAAACUAGUGGUGAAUACAUGGUACUGCCCACCAUUCAACUGCUUUGGGUGACUCUGAUAACCUGACUGCUGUUGAUUUCCUUGAUUAUUCUGUUGGUUGUUACCACCCUGGUUGUUCUGGUUGCCCUGAUUAUUCUGAAAUCCAGAGCUUGAACUGCUGCCACCAUGAAAACGUGGACCUGAACCGCCCGAUGGACCCUGAUCAUACCGGAAAAGAUCAGAGUUUUUGAACUCCUUCAUAAUGUGACAAUCUUUCCAGAGAUGUCUUGCAGGAACCUCCUUGGCCCAACGCUUUGGGCAGGGCUGAUUCAACAAACGCUCCAGAUUCAUUCCACCGCCACGCUAGGGCGGUUUACCCUUACGACGCUGCACAUUAGCAUUAGCCACAAAAUCUGAAUCUGCUUUGCGCUUACCAUUAUUCCCAUGGCCUCCUUGGUUGUGUUGCUGUCCCUUUGCACCGUCGUUCUUCUUUCCCUUCUCCGGUUUCUCCUCAUCAGAAUCGGGAUCCUUGGUAUUAUCAGAAUCGGCAUAUUUGACCAAGGCGGCCAUAAGGGUGCCCAUGUCAUUGUAGUGGCGCUUGAGCCGUCCCAACUUCAUCUUCAGUGACUUAAACCAGCAAUUACGUUCCAGUGUGAUGAUUGCUUGGCCAGCGUUAAUCCGAUCUGAAGAAUGCAAAACUUCUGAAACCCGGCGCACCCAAUGAGUUGUUGACUCGUUCUCCCCUUCAACACAGGUAUCCAGAUCCACAAUGGACAUAGGCUGUUUACAUGUGUCCUUGAAAUUGGCUAUAAACCGGGCCUUCAACUGGUCCCAUGACUCGACGGAGUUAGCCGGCAAGUUCUUCAACCAUGUACGGGAUGUUCCCUCCAACAUCAUCGUGAAGUACUUUGCACAAGCCGCUUCAUCCAUGUCCAGCAUCUCCAUUGCCAUCUCAUAACUUUCCACCCACGCCUCGGGUGGCUGAUCAGCAGUAUAAUUUGGUACCUUACGUGGGCCCUUGAAAUCAUUAGGCAGUCGCACAUUACGGAGAGCCAGAAUAAGGCACGGCACUCCCCAAGAAGUGAAAGCAAGCCCGGUGCCUCGGUCCACUGACGUUGCUGGCUGAACCGGGGCAGGUUGAUAUCGACCCGUAUGCUGUGCUGCUAAAGUGGCCUCCCUUCGUGCCCCGCCAUUAUCCACCAUGUCUUGAGCAUUCACAUCACCACGCGCCGGAUUAGGCCCUUGAGGGACAAUGCGGCGCCGCGCACUGCUGGACACUUCCGGUUCACCUAUAUGCCUGCUAUAGCUUUUGCUCGGACGUGGGGUCGAGUGAAUCCUGUCUCGGCUAUACGAGUAAGCUUGCCGAUGCGUCAUAGCCAUUUGAAGAAGAUCCCUGGCCCGCCGUGUCUCAACCGCUGCUGGAGAUUCACCCUCUAUCGGAAUAGCUGCCAACCGGGAUGCUGCUGCUAUAUAUUGUCCAAAGGGGUAGAGAAGUGACCCGGCGGGGGUGUGGUAUACCGUGGCGGGUUGUCCGUUUGCCGAGGUGGACCCAUCACCUGAGGUUGAUCCGGUGCUCCGGUCCUUAGCGCAAUAGUCCGGUUCACUGCGGCCGGAUUGCUAGUCCCUGCUCCUGGCGUACCGAAGAGGUUCAUCGCAUUGUAAUCCGCCGGCAAGUGAGAACGAUGUCUCCUCUUGAAUACUUCAUUUGAAGCGUUCUGAUCCAUCAAAAGUCGAUAAUUCUCGGCUUGAAUCCUCUGCGCCUGGGCAUCUAAAGCAGCCCACUCCUCAGUCAUCCGGAUCUCCUCAGCUGCUAAAUCCUCUUUUGCCUGCGUUAUCUAAUCCUUUAGCCUUGCAAUGUCCGCAUUGUGUUGAUCCUGCGUCGCUGGUGUAACUGCCGUGGUCAACAAGGUCGCCCAGGCAUCCAUCCAACCAGAGAGAACUUGAGCCGGCCGGCGCGCGGAGCCUCCUGCCCCUGCUACCGGUCCGGACGCCGUCGCAGUAGAGUUAUGCAAGGUUGGUUGUGUUCCGACCAUGAAGAUUCCGACGUGGUUCGGUGGUUCAAGAAAUUCCGGAAUAAUGGUGCCAUCGGAAUACCCUUCAAAACACACCAUCCUGAACUUGGUAUAGGGACUCGGUUUCACCAGCGGAUGAUUCGCCGUCAGAAUAAGCGACCAUCUCACCUUCAGACACCGGUUCAGAUCCGAUCUCGUGGACACAUCCCACGAACGCACGCUUCAUGGCAGGCUAAAUCCGGGCGGGACUUGCACGCUGAGCCGUCUCGACGAGGUUGGUGCAGAUGUCCGGCUCAGGGCCCGGUUCACCGAUCUUGCCGAUGAAAACAUGAAUUCCGCCGAAGGGGACCCUGUACCCGUACUCGAUUGAGACGGCCUCGGGGCCCCAGCCUGCGUCGUUGAUGUAGAGCUUGCCGCGACGACUCUUGGUCAUCCGGCCCACUGCAUAUCCUUUGAGUCCUUCAAAUCUGCCCUUCAAGAACUCAAAACCAUCGUGCGAUAGCCCCACGGUGGGCGCCAACUGACAUGGAAAUAUCACGUCAGAUGUCCUCAUGAAAGGACUUAGUCGUGGAGCCAUCGCAACGGGUUAGCUUAAAGGGGUUAAACCGGACAAAGGACACGAGGGAUUUUAUACUAGUUCGGCCCCUUCGAUGAAGGUAAAGGCUUACGUCUAUUGUGAUGGGAUUAUUGGGGUCUCGAUAACCAGGGAGCUAAACACGCUAUGCCUGGCUCUCGAGUUGUUGUUUAUUGUCCCUGAACCGCCGUGGGUCGUCCCCUUAUAUACACGGGUUGACGCCCGGUCGGUUUAUAGAGUCCCGAGGACUCAUACAAGUGUCUGGCUCGGUCUCUCCUUUCCUUAUCUUACAAUACAAGUUACAUGACUAUGGCGGUUUACCACUAUGGGCCCUAAUCCGCCUUUGGGCUCCUGGCCUCUAAGCCUGAUAGUAAAGCGCCAUCUUCCGGGUCUUCGUGGGCUUCAAUAUAGUUGAGUGUGAACCGGCCCCUCCUGGGCAGUUUACACUCAGUAGUUAUAUCCCCAACACCUAGGGUAUGCCUAUGUUGUUCAUCUUGGAUGGGGAAAAAUAGUAAAGCAAUCAUCAUUUGUCUUUUUAUUAAUUUAAAGCAAUCAUUAGCCUGCUAUCAUUAUUUUUGGAUCCAUCCACUGGCUGUUACCAUCACUCUAAAUUUCUGCAUGCUCUCCUUACAUAAUCUCACCAUAUUUUUUCGUAUGCAUGUCAGAUAUUGUACACAGUCAUGUUGAACAUGUAGAGAAAAAGAGAAGAGUUUGGCGCGGCAAUACAAUGUCAUGCCGACAUUGCUCCAUGGUGGGUUCAAUGGCAAACCCUCCCCACCCUUCUCCAGAUUGUAAUCCAGAGGAAGAUAUCUGUUCUGAGGCGAAUUUAGAUGCCACUGACCACUCCUAUUUACCCCCCAAGGUGUUUGCUCUACCUUGGCAUGAUGAUGUUAGUCAUAUCAUGCAUAUGUUGCCUUGAAGUGCCUACUUUUUACGUCAUAUAUGUCAUCUGCUUAGUUUAGACAUGUCUGUAAUGCCACUUGUUUAGUUUCUAUAUCAUAUAUGGGAAUUAUGCAGUCUCAUGUCUUUUAGCCAGCCAUAAUAUAUAUGAAAUGUGCAAUGCAAUCCUGUUUAACCAAGCAUCAUAUAUUUGAAUGAUAUCUUGCCCAUCCUUUUCUUCAUUACAUUUCCAUUUGUCGAUAAUGUUUGUACAUUAAACUACUCUUCCUGUGAAUCAGCCAUUUGGGUGGGAGAUGGAAAAAUCUGGAGUGAAAAUAAGGCCUUUAGAGCAGACAGUGCUACCUGACGAAGCAGAUCUCUUGUUGGGUCCCGAUAGCUCCUCAUAGAUGGAUUCAGAGACAGAUGGCCAGUCCUAUUCCCCCACUGAGGUGUAUGCUCUAACUUGGCACAGUUAUACUGCUCAUAUCAUGCAUAUGGUGUCUUGCAUUGCAUAGUUUAGACAUCAUAUACACAAUAUUCAACACCAUGUCUUAGUUCAGACAUCAUAUCGAAUGCCCUCUGUUUAGCAUAUAAAUCACAUAUGUGAAUUAAAUGAUGCGAUCCUGAUUACUUAGAUAACAUGUAGGUGAAUUAUGUCAUGCGAUCAUGUUUAGUUAUUCAUCAUAUCUUUGAAUUAUGUUAUGUUAUGCUAUCCAGUUUAGAUAGACAUCAUAUAUGUGAAAUUAUGUCAUGCUAUCCAUUUUAUUUAAACAAUAUACAUGUCAACUAUUUCAUGCCCUCUUUUUUCCACACUAUCUAUUGCAUCUGUCUCUCAUAUAAUGUAUGUACAUUCAACUAUGUUUCCUGUUUAUCAACCAUUCGAAUUGGAGCGGGUGAUGCCAGUAUCUAGCGGACUAAAAACACGGUCUUCAAAUAAAACAAUGCUACCUCUUGGUGGAGAUAGCACCCCGGUUGUACAUGCACAAGAACCAUCCCUACCACACAUAACCCAAACUCUCGCAGAUUAUACCCCUACUGCGAUGGACAGAGAACCAGCUUCACCCAAUCUAACCCCAACCCCAGCCGAUAGUAACCCAGUUCCUGUUGACACAGCACCAUCUCCACCAUAGAGCUCCCAAACAAGAGCAGUUAGUAAGGCAGUUCCAAUGCCCAAAGGGCCAUUACUAUCACGGCGAACCCCAACUCCACCAGUUAGUACGCCUAUUCCUGUGGAGGAAGCACAACCAGCUAGUCGUAGUUUAGUAUCUAUCACAUUUGAUGUUGUUAAAUCGUAUGUGCGUAUUUUCCCAUCUUGGAAAUAUUAUACUGAAGAUGAAGGAAAAUGCCAGUUCCAGGUGUUUGUCCAGGAGUUAUGUGUAAGUAAUGUUAUUCAUGGCAAUUACUUUUCUUCGUCCCAUACAUCCUACCUCCAUGAUGGUUAUAAUACAGCAAAUUUUCCCAUUUUCUCUAUAGAGAAGGACCAAUUUGGAAACUCGGGAUGAGGUAACCUAUGCUAAUACCUCUGCUAUCUUCAAGAAUGCUUGGUGGCAGUAUCAGAAUUACCUGAAGAAAACGUACUUCACCGGCAAAGAAACCCAUCAAAUUCCCUUACAUUCUCCUGAGACACAUUUACUGGACGAUGACUGGGAACGCCUUAUUCUGUACUGGUCCCGAAUCAAGAAUGUGGUAAGGUCUAUGAGCUCAUUUUCUAUUUUUAAGUAUUAUUGCGUCUUACUGUACUCUGUUCAUGUAGAACAAGUGCCUAAACCUGAAGAACAAUUGUUCUAAUUUAAGAUUCUAUUGCUAUCAUAGUUCAAAAAAGCGCUAGGCGUUAAUUGUGCAUUUUGCCACCGCCUUGCGCUUUACUGACCAAAGCGCAUGCUUAUGCGAAGUUAUGCAUAGAUUAAGCAUAGUUAUGCGCAAUGCAUUUUGCCAACGCCUAGAGCCUAGGCGCGCUUAAGCGCUCGCUUAGGCGCGCCUUUUUUAACUAUGAUUGCUUUGCUCUUGUAUCACUGUAUUUACUCAUACAAACUUAUUUUUAAAUUGAAGGAUCCAAUCGAAACUCCAAUGGCACAGCAGGUAUGUCCACGCAUGUUUCUUUAAUAGGUUUGCUCUUAUCAAUAGCUCUGUUGAUUUGAAUUUCAAUUGUGUAUACAGUUGACUUUCAUAUCAUGCACAUUACUAGCAUCACAACAGAGCCAAUAGUGUUGUUGUACAUGUAGACCCGUGGUACCCAUCUGAAAAUCUUGUUGUGUCAUGUAGUUUCCCACGCUUUGUAUUCUUUCACUGCUGCUUUGUCUUGAACUGAUAUGAUUUGAACUGUGUCUCUAUUUUGAUUUGGCAAGACAAUGCAGUGACCAUAGGACAUAGAUAUAUGUUUGUUUGAUGCUUUUAUUAUGUACUAGUACUUGGCAAUAUAAGACUUGGUAGUUUAAUCAUGUCCACCUUACUAACGAACUGGUUCACCGAAAUGAGUUUCAUAUACUAGUACAUGCUAAACUUGUUAUGUGUCUGCUUGUUUCUUCUUUUAGAAUGCUGACAGAAUAUUGGGGAAGAGUGCCUUAUUAAGCAAUGGUAAAGGAAGUAAUGCAGAUAAGGUUCAGGAUAGUGACACAUCCUUGUUGGUCUCCAACAAAGCUGAUAAAACAGCUAAGGAAGACUAUCUUGAAGACAGCGGGACAACCCCAAAGUCCUGUCUUGGUUUAGUGUUCGAGUUACUGGCCACUACCGCUUGCACAACCUAUUCAAACUCACUAUAUGAAUCAGUUCGGUUUCUUGAGUCUCAACUACAAGAUUAAAGACAUCGAUCAGCUGUGCUGCAACAAGAAGCGGAAGGACCGCGGAAGUCCCUGGAGCAUUCAGAUGCAUACUUUCUGGUGCAACAGCAAGCGUUGGAGGAUUUUAGCGCCAAACAGGACAAAGCUAGUAAGCUUGCUAAGCUUAUUGCCAGCAUGGUGGAUACCCAGGAUAAUGUUUCUUGAGCUCUUCUGAAGUUGUUUCAGUUAUGCUCUUGUUUUUCUACUGCGUUUAUUUGCACUGGUGGCCAAUUUUGACGGCCAGUGUAUGUAAUAUGCUGCUUUGUUUCCUAUAUUUGCACUGGUGCGAACUUGGAUGCCCAGUGGAUGUAAUAUGUGUAAUAGCGGUAAUAGGCUAGCGUUAAUUGCUUGCUUAUUUAUUUCCUUAUUGUCUUGUUUAGUUGUUUGCUUGUAGUCACUGCAUUUCUUUUUCUGUGUUUUUCUAGUGGCAACAUUAGCCUAUUUUUGGUAACUAGGCCAAAAUAAUCAUGGAAACACACGGACUGUUGUAACCAUGGGCCUCCUACAGGCCGUAUGAUCCAUGGGCCUUCUUCCGGCCAUAGUGUCCAUUGGCCUUCUAUACGGGCCGUAGGAUCCAUUGGCCUUUUAUACGGGCCUUAGGAUUCGUGGGCCUUCUACAGGCCAUAGGGUCCAUGGGCCUUCUAUGGGCCGUACGAUCCAUGGGCCUUCUAUGGGCCAUACUAUUCACGGGCCUCAUACGGGCCGUAGGAUCCAUGGGCCUUCUACGGGGCGUAUCAUCAUUUCGCCAAUCAUGGGCCAUACUAUUCGUGGAUCAUAACGGGUCGUUAAUAGGUCGUACUUGAUAACUGUAUGAAAACAGCCCAACGGGUUUUUUUGACAUGAAAACGGCCUAACGUAUUAAUGGUCCGCAAACGGGCCGACUGUAACGACGGGCUGAAUUUGGCCCACAAGCAGAAAAUGGCAGUGACGGGCCGUAUGUAACCGAAUGCUGCAAAUGAGCCCAAGAAUCAAUGGGCCCUGAGAAGGCCGAAAGAUAACUUGGGCUAGAAACGGCCCAAUGGAAUAACGGGCCGUUAAUGGGUAUAAAGUGAUACACUAUUCAUUACGGGCCAGUUUCACCACGGGCCGUUAAUGGGCCAAGAGUUACAAAGGGCCUCAUAUGGGCCGAAAGAAGUCAUGGGCCACACAUGGGCCGGAAGUUAAAAUGGGCUGGAAUCAUAUUGGACAGCCCAGAUGACGCUACUGGGCCUAAUUCGGAUAGGGCGUAACGGGCCCUGGGUUAGUGGGUUGUAAAUGGGCUAUAUGCGAACAUGCCGUUAACAGGCUUUCCGUGGGCCGGCCCGCCACCUUUUGACCAAGUCAAGCGGGACGGCCUUUUCACAGGAAUGGGCCUCUGUUGGGUCGUGCCAUGUGUCGCCGUAUCAUAGGCGCCUUCUGUCCAAUGAGCGGAUGACAUCUGUCCCAACGGUGAGCCGACACGUGUUUCGUCCAGUGAAUGAUGAUUUUAUGCGUGGAAAAUCCCCAUUGGUCGGGGAUGUUAACGGGUUAUCGGAUCCAAAACCCGACCUGAUAGCUUAACGGCGUUCCCUUACGAUGGAUGCCACGUGUCGGUCACCCUUGAAGAAAGCACUUCUCUGACGUGCGAUUUAUCGUCAUGGAAGUGGACACUUCCGUGAUGAUAAUUUUGGUAAUGUCAUGGAACACUUCUACGACAGCACAGGUAUGACUAUCUUGAUUCUGUCAUAAAAUCGUCAUGGAUGUACAUGGAUGACAAAAACGCAACCUACCGUGACAAACACGUAUCAUCACGGAAGUGUAUUUUUUUGUAGUGUAUCUACUAUAUGAUUCACCUUCGACCUUUCGGCCUCCAGUGUUCCGAGGCCAUAUAUGUAUAUGCUAGGCUCGUCAAGUUUAACCCGAGUAUUCCGCGUGUGCAAAUCUGGCUUGCACCCGUUGUAUUUGAACGUAGAGCCUAUCACACCCGAUCAUCACGUGGUGUCUUAGCACGAAGAACUUUCGCAACGGUGCAUACUCGGGGAGAACACUUAUACCUUGAAAUUUAGUAAGGGAUCAUCUUAUAAUGCUACCGCCGCACUAAGCAAAAUAAGAUACAUAAAAGAUAAACAUCACAUGCAACCAAAAUAUGUGACAUGAUAUGGCCAUCAUCAUCUUGUGUUUUUGAUCUCCAUCACCAAAGCAACGUCAUGAUCUCCAUCGUCACUGGCUUGACACCUUAUUCUCCAUCGUAGCGUUGUGGUCGUGUCGCCAACCAUUGCUUCUAUGACUAUCUCUACUACUUAGUGAUAAAGUAAAGAAAUUACAUAGAGUUUGUAUUUCAUACAAUAAAGGAACAACCAUAUGGCUCCUGCCAGUUGCCGAUAACUUUUACAAAACAUGAUCAUCUCAUACAACAAUAUUAUAUCACAUCAUGCCUUGAUCAAAUCACAUCACAACAUGCCCUGCAAAAACAAGUUAGACGUCUUCUACUUUGUUUGUUGCAAGUUUUACGUGGCUGCUACGGGCUUCUAGCAUGAACCGUACAUACCUACGGCACAAAAACCACAACGGUGAUUUAUCAAGUUUGUUGUUUUAACCUUCACAAGGACCGGACGCAGUCAAAUUCGAUUCAACUAAAGUUGGAGAAACAGACACCCGCCAGCCAACUUUAUGCAAAACUAGUUGCAUGUUUGUCGGUGGAACCGGUCUCAUGAACGCGGUCAUGUAAGGUUGGUCCGGGCCGCUUCAUCCAACAAUAUCGCUGAAUCAAAAGAAGACAUUGGUGGUAAGCAGUAUGACAAUCACUUCCCACAACUCUUUGUGUUCUACUCAUGCAUAUUAUCUACGCAUAGACCUGGCUCGGAUGCCACUGUUGGGAAACAUAGCAUGCAAUUUUUUAAAAUUCCUACGCUCACGCAAGAUCUAUCUAGGAGAUGCAUAGCAACGAGAGGGGGAGAGUGUGUCCACGUACCCUCAUAGACCGAAAGCGAAAGCGUUAACUUAAUGCGGUUGAUGUAGUCGAACGUCUUCUCGAAUCAACUGAUGAAGUACCAAACAUACGGGACCUCUGAGUUCUGCAUAUGUUCAGCUCGAUUACGUCCCUUGAACUCUUGAUCCAGUAGAUGCACGAAGGAGUCGAUGAGUUCCGUUAGCACGAUGGCGUGGUGACGGUGUUGGCGAUGUGAUCCGUGCAGGGCUUCGCCUAAGCACUACGACAAUAUGACCAGAGGAGUAAACGGUGGAGGGGGGCACCGCACAUGGCUAAGAAACAACUGUUGUGCUUUGGGGGUACCCCCUUGCCCCCGUAUAUAAAGGAGGAGAGGGGAGGCCGCCGGCCCUAGGGGCGCGCCAAGUGGGGGAGUCCCACUAGGACUCCUAGUCCUAGUCGGCCCCCCUUCCUUUCCAAUGGAGUGGGAAGGAGGGAAGUGGAGGGAAAGAGAGAGGGAGAAGGAAAGGGGGGCCGCACCCCUUCCCCUUGUCCAAUUCGGACUCCCUAUGGGGGGGCGUGCGCCACCUCCUGGGGGGGGGGGUCCGGUAACCCCUGGAUACUCUGAAAAAUACCCGAACCUCUCCGGAACCAUUCCGAUGCCCCUGUAUAACCUUCCAAUAUAUCAAUCUUUACCUCUCAACCAUUUCGAGACUCCUCUUCAUGUCUGUGAUCUCAUCCGGGACUCCGAACAACCUUCGGUCACCAAAACACAUAACUCAUAUAAUACAUAUCAUCAUCAAACGUUAAGCGUGCGGGCCCUACGGGUUCGAGAACUAUGUAGACAUGACCAAGACACCUCUUCGGUCAAUCACCAAUAGCGAAAUCUGGAUGCUCAUAUUGGUUCCCACAUAUUCUAUGAAGAUCUUAAUCAGUCAAACCGCAAUGUCAACAUACAUUAUUCCCUUUUUCAUCGAUAUGUUACUUGCCCGAGAUUCGAUCGUUGUUAUCUUCAUACCUACUUCAAUAUCGUUACCGGUAAGUCUCUUUACUCGUUCCGUAGUGCAUCAUCCCGCAACUAACUCAUUAGUCACAUUGCGUGCAAGGCUUCAUAUGAUGUGCAUUACCGAGAGGGCCCAGAGAUACCUCUCCGAUACUUAGAGUGACAAAUCCUAAUCUCGUUCUAUGCCAACCCAACAAACACCUUCAGAGAUACCUGUAGAGCAUCUUUAUAAUCACCUAGUUACGUUGUGACGUUUGAUAGCACAUAAGGCAUUCCUCCGGUGUCCGGGAGUUGCAUAAUAUCAUAGUCGGAGGAAUAUAUAUUUGACACGAAGAAAGAAGUAGCAAUAAAACUGAACGAUCACUAUGCUAAGCUAACGAUGUGUCUUGUCUAUCACAUCAUUCCACUAAUGAUGUGACCCCGUUUAUCAAAUGACAACUCAUGUCCAUGGCUAGGAAACUUAACCAUCUUUGAUCAACGAGCUAGUCUAGUAGAGGCAUACUAGGGACAUGGUGUUUUGUCUAUGUAUUCACACAUGUAUCAAGUUUCCGGUUAAUACAAUUCUAGCAUGAAUAAUAAACAUUUAUCAUGAAUAAGGAAAUAUAAAAUAACAACUUUAUUAUUGCCUCUAGGGUAUAUUUCCUUCAAUACUGCUCAUUUCCUGUGUUUUUGAAGGAAACUACACAUCCACCCAAAGCUCAUUUUGCGCGUAGGAACGAGACAAAUUAAUUCCUUAGGAUGGCAAGUGGCAUCCUAUCGAAUUCCUAUACUACUCUCAAUUCCUACAUUUUGAUUUCCUCCAAACUGAAUGAGCCCUAAGAGGGUGGAUAGGCAGUUCCUAGUUGGAGACAUUGCCUAAUUGAAGUUGCAGCCUUGCUUUUCACCUACUCGGACGAUCCCCAAGCUCCUGCAUGUCGUUGUUGAUCACCCGACGACUAUUCUUCUCUUUUUACUUUCCACCUACUCAUUUAUGUAAUGGCUAUAAAGCCACGAAACUCGCAUGAGUGGAGGGGCAUCCCUUGUGUAAUGGGGUUGUAAACCCUAGCCGCCAGUGGCGUGUUACCUAUCUUUCGCCUUUCAAUAAGAACCCUACAUUUAAUUCUCCAAUUUCAUCUGUGUUCUUGAGUGAUUGAUGUUGAAAUUUAGUCAUAGCAUAGACUAGUUCCUGACAGGUUCAUAAAAAUGACUGCAUCUAUACAUGUACGUCACGUGAAAAAAAUCGUUAGGUUUAGGUGAACCCAACGCCUACAUGCUGGCUCCGCCUCUGGAGGGGGGCAGGCCCCCUGCCUCUCCUCCAAUCCUUGCCGGCUCAUUAUCUAGUGAUAUAUUUCCUCAGAUGGAUUGGUUAACGAGUGUGUGUGAGGCAACCGGUGGGUACAGGUCCAAGGUUCGACCCCCAUGACUCCAGUUUUUCUCUUUAAUAUUUUGUCCGACAUUUCGUAUGGUCAAGGUGUCAAGUCCCGACUAUGAAUCUAUGAUCUAGGGAGCAGUUGUAUGUAAUAUAGACAUUAAUUGAGGAGAAAUGGCUGAAUCAAGAGGCCAGAUAUAUACUUAUCUAGGGUUUGGUAUGAGUGUUUUGGCGAUCGGGCUGAAUUGGGAAAAAUAGCAUACGAGCCACAUCCAGACGGUUAGAUAAGCUCACUCCACGAGGUAAGGGAAACUCCAAUGCACCGGCACGCAAACUGUCUGCGCAUGUCUGUUUGAGUCCAAAUGGACACAAAUUAGGGCCCAAUGCGCUGACUCAAACAGACGUACGUCCACUUUUGUCCAUGUGCGACCCAUUUUUGGCCCAAAUAUGAGUCGGGUUUGCAUCAGCGCGAACACAAAGCGGACGUGUGUGACCCCCGCCCUUGUCCUUCCCCUAGCCCGCUAGUUGGUGGCACAAUGGCCAUUCCCCCUCCCAUUGACAGCCAACACACCCAACCACCCCGCUCUCGUCGAUGUCCUUAGUUUCAGCCGGUUGGACGCUGACCAGGUCAUGACCCACACCCAUCAACCUCCCCAGCAUCUCGCCACCUCGACGACUGCUCUUGCAGGCAGUUGUGAACUGUUUUCGCCGCUAUCAUAGCACCCUGAUGACCACGCCACCUCUGCCGCCACUAGCAACGCCGCAAACUCGGCGUCCUUGCUCGCCGGUCGCCACCACGGUCACCUCCAAGCCGGUAGGACUGCUGCCUGGUCUGGGAGAGACGUUGGGCUCUUCACCGUCCGACUUCUAGCUCCACGCCCACAAGGUGUUCGACGUUUCGCUCACAAGGUACAAAUGGAUAGUGACAAAUGAGUACUUUUUCAACAACUUCAUUUGCAAUUCGGAUGAUUCGUCGUCUGACGAUGAGGACAUUGUGGUUGCGGCUUUGGUCGUCCAUGACCAUAUUAGUAGGCAGCGACCGAUGUUUAGGGGGUUGAUCCCAGGGCAUACUCCGGCGUUGAAUCGCAACAGAGAGAGCGACCAUUGCCUACUCUGGAAGGAUUACUUUGAGUCCGCUGACCUACUCUUCGAACACAACCUCUUUCGGCGCCGCUUCUGAAUGGCUAGACAUGUGUUCAAUCUUAUCCUGGAGGGGGUGGUGGCUUAUGAUAAUUAUUUUGAAUGCAAGGAGGAUGAUCUAGGAAAGGUUGGCUUCUCCUCUUAUUAGAAAUGCACUGCAGCUAUUCAGAUGCUUGUAUACGGAAUACUCGGUGAUCUUAUUGAUGAGUAUGUCCGUAUGCACGAGUCCACGUGCCUAGAAUCCACGUAUAGGUUCUGCAAGGCUGUUGUACAGUAUUUGGCCUGGAGUACUUGAGAGAACCAACUAUUGCAGAUACAACCUGGUUUUGGCGACCAAUGCCGAUAGGGGUUUUCGGGAAUGCUUGGUAGCAUAGAUUGUAUGCAUUAGGAGUGGAAGAACGGUCCUUUUGCUUGGCAGGGGCAGUUUAGGGGUCGUGUGAAAGCUUGCAUUGUCAUACUUGAGGCCGUGGCUUCACAAGAUCUAUGGAUUUGUCACUCUUUCUUCGACAUGACCGACUCUCACAAUGACAUCAACGUGCUUCAGCACUCUUCGAUGCUUGCAAGGCUUGCAGAAGGCAACUUCCUAGAGGUCAAUGUUAAGAUCAAUGGUCACCACUACAACAAAGGAUACUACCCAGUUGAUGGUAUCUAUCAUCAGUGUAUUACUCUUGUCAAGACAAUCUCCAACCCGAUAGGAGAGAGGAGGCUGAUAUUUGCCCAAGCACAAGAGAAUGUUAGAAAAGAUGUGGAGCGUGCUUUUGGUGUUCUUCAAUCUCAAUGGGACAUUGUUCUGUAUCCUGCUAGAACUUGGAGCACCAAGAAGUUGUGGGAGGUGAUGACUGCUUGUGUAAUCAUGCACAAUAUGAUCGUAGAGGAUGGGGGCGAGGAUGAAAUCUUCCAUUGGGAUUUCAAUUUCAGAGGGAAAAUGUUGUGCCUGAGCAUGGAGGAGUGACAACAUUGGCACAGUUCACUGAAUUUCAUCGUCAAAUACGUGAUUGGAAAACUUACACUCAACUACAAGAUGAUUUGAUUGAGCAUAUGUUGGCUCACCUUGGCAACCAAUAGAUGUAUGGGCUAAUUUUUCUUUCAAAUGUAUUUGCGUUUAAAUCUUAUUUGGUUUGUAAACUAUGAGAUUUUAUUUGGUUUAUGGAACUAUGAUAUUUGUAUUUGGUUGAAUUAUGUGAAUUUUGGGAAAUGUUUUUGAUAUGUACGCAAAAAAAGCAAAAAAAUGAUCGUGCGGACGAAAAUGCGUCAGUGUGUUGGACGUCAACUCAAACGCGGAAAGGGGCGGACAAAGGCAAAAACGCCGACCCAAACCGAUAAAAAGCGGACAAAAUCCGUGACCGUUUGCGUCGGUGCGUUGGAGUUGCCCUAAUAACUUUAACUGAUUUUAAAUGGUAACUAAGUAUUACAUAGAUCCUGGCCGCCGAGGGACGGUUUUACCCGAGUGAGUACAGCCGUUGGAUCAGAUGAAGCGUUGCCGGACGCGCAACAAUUAACUGAAGGUCAACACUGCCUCAUGUUCAAACACAUGCGCUGCUUGACCCAAGGGCCUUUGAUCGGAUGGCAACGGUGCCGAAUGUCUCUUUUGAGCAUGCACCUAACUAACAGUAGUAUUUUUACGAUUUUUUCUAGACAUUUCUACGACUUGGUGAAAAUGAUCUUCGUAGUUUUAAUCAGUUUGGUAAUUUUUUUGAAACUUUCCGAGAAUGGUUAGCACAGUACUGUUCGUUUAGAGAAUUUUUGUUAACGCUUUCAUUUUUUCUAAAAUUUGACCCCAAAAAAGUCAUGAAUAUGUAUUUUUCUUGUAGUUUUUAAUUUGUUUGAAAAAAGUUUCAAACUUUCCCAAAAUGAUUAGCAUGGUGAGAAUUGUCUCAAUUUUUCCUGGGCACUUUCAUUUUUUGGGUCAAAAUUUGACAAAAAACUGUCUUGAAUUGCAUUUUCCUGGUAUUUUUAAUCUGCUUGGCAAAAAAGUUUGAAAUUUUCACAAAAUGACCAGCGUGGUAAUGUUCAUUUUACAUAAGUCUUUAUUUUCUAGGGCACCUUUUUUGGUCAAAAAGUGGGCUGGUGAUGUGGCAGCUGAAGUGGACGCUGACCGGAUUGGUCAACUGGUCAAAACCAGUCAAACAGGCUAGAAACCGGUUUGAGUAGAGUCGGGGUUGAAAGUUGAGGGUAGUAACUUAGAGCAUCUCCAAUAGCUUGUCUAUAUGGAUGUCUAUACUAGUUUUCCACCACGUGAGGCCAAAACGAACGUCCAACAGCUCGUGUAAAUGGGCGUCCAAACAUGCACAUCCUCUAAAUCCACCUUCACAAUGUCCACACCUGGACGAUGUGAAGGCGUAGUCCAUAGCUCAACCGCAGCCCGUGUACGCUGCUGCUGCUACUAAAUAUGACAUGCUGAAUUUUGCUGUUGAUGCUAUUUAUCCAAGACAUCGUUGAUGAUUUUGUUGAUAUUGUUGCUGCUACCUAGGUGAUGUAUUGUCAUAUGAAAUUUCUGCCGAUUUUUUGCAGAUGCAAUAAGUAAAUCGUUGAAUCACUGUUAAAACGGUAGUUACAAAAUAAUAUUAAAAUAUAGAAGAGAGAAUAUAGACAUUCUGUAUAUAGACGUUCUGCUGUAAAACUGGAUGUGUAUAUUAGGGAAUCUUUUUAGACCAUUGUCUAUAUGGAUAUAUAGACAUCCAAAUAUAGGCCAUGGAGACUUUUCAGGUGUGCCUAUCGAACGCGAGUUGCACCCAUGCAACAUGCAUGGUACGUAUCGUGGAUCAGGGGAGUCUGCCAGUGCAUGAGCCACAUACUGCCAAUGAUCCUGAAGAUGGGCAGUUCCAGGACACGCCAGACCAUGUAGCAGUACAUGAUGAUGAGGAUGAGCCGGUGCAGACCACGCCACUGAGGUCUGGUGGCGGCUUGCUGUUGCAAGGUGACUUGGAGAGCAUGCGCGUGGAGAUGUGCAGAACCCUAUCCCCAAUCCUGCCGCUCCCAACCUCCCGCGCGCCGGCGGGGCAAACGCGUAACCCAAGGAAGAAAAGAAGACUGGACAUAACGCCAAGGAGGAGCGCGAGACUGGCGAAGCAAGGGGCAUCCAAGCAACAGAAAGUGCUCAUUAGGAAACUCUGUCUGGCGCAUGAAGGGGAGGCCAUUUCGGAAGAAUCGCUUAGGAUGUACGUUGACCUGUUUUCCCGCCCGCUUUCGGACGUGCAUAUUGUCGAUGUGCUCGUCUUGUUCGGUUGGGAAUCGCCGGUUGUGCCCCUGGAAGGGGAGGAGGUGUGCUAAUGCACGCGCUGGUGGCUCGGUUGAUGCUUGAAAUGAAUGUGCAACCUUUGAGGGUGAUGGUGUGGAAUGUCCGAGGGCUAAAUGCGCCUGCUCGUCGGAAUGCGGUCUUCCAGGUGGUGAAUCAGGCUUGUCCUGCCAUUGUGUGUCUCCAAGAAACUAAGUUGCAUGAUGUGUCGCUAAACAUUGUACGGCAAUGCCUCGGUGCUAAGUUUGAGAAAUUUUUCUAUUUGCCUGCGUCCGGCACGCAUGGUGGGAUCUUGGUGGCCUGGGAUGCCACAAUGACUCAACUCUCUAACUCGCACUAUACCAACCACACAUUAACUGUGCUUGUUAAAUGCCCUGAGGACGACCAGCCUUGGUGGCUCACAUGUGUUUAUGGGCCUCAAGAGGAGGAAGAGAAGGUAGAGUUCCUUCAGGAUUUAGUGGAUAUUCGUGACCUGCACGCUGGGCCUUGGCUCGUGGCCGGGGAUUUUAAUCUCAUCACUUGCCAGGAGGAUAAUAACAAUGCCUUGAUCAACCGAAGAAUGAUGGGGAGGUUUUGGGCUAAGCUCAACCCUUUGGAACUAAAAGAGAUAUAUUUGAACGGCGGAAGAUACACCUGGUCAAAUGAACGAAGAGUGGCUACCUUGGAGAAGAUCGAUCACGUCCUUGCUUCGAAUGACUGGGAUGAGGCCUACCCAACAAGUUUCCUUUUCGCGCUGGGCACGGCUGUGCCUGACCAUUGCCCGCUGAUGCUUGAUAUGAAUGUGAGCAUUAAUAUGAAGAGCCGUUUCAAGUUUGAGUCGUUCUGGAUUCGAGCCCAGGGUUUCAUGGAUGUAGUCAAGCUGGCUUGGUCCACCACACCUGUAGCCAACAAUGACUACCUCACGCUGCAUAACAAGUUAAGGGCAACUGCUGUAAGCCUACAAAGGUGGAGUGACCAUUGGAUUGGUAAUGUAAAGCUGCAAUAUUGACUGCGCUUGAAGUUAUAAAAACAGCUCGACAUGGCCAUGGAGACAAGAGCGUUAUCUGAUGCUGAGAGGGCACUGAGGAAAUGCCUAAAGAAGAAGCUGCUGGGCUUGAGCUCUCUGGAGAGGACAAUAGCAAGGCAAAGAUCAAGGUUGUUGCAACUACGUGAGGGUGACGGAAAUACUAGGCUAUUCCAUCAGCAAGCUAGUCAUAGGCAGAGAAAGAAUAUAAUAAGAGUUGUGAAGCACAACGGCAACUUGUACUCUGGGCAGGACGAGGUGGCAUCAGCGGUGGGCGCAUACUUUGGUGCAGCUUUUGGUGCUACGGAGGAGAGGUCACAUGCCCUUAAUCUUGAUAUGUUGGGCUUGCCGCAUCUGGACUUGCAGCACUUGGAGAGCCCGUUCACGGAUGAGGAAGUGGAGAAAGUAAUCAAGAGCAUGCCCAUGGACAAAGCUCCGGGGCCGGAUGGGUUCACCGGUCGUUUUUAUGCAACUUGCUGGGACAUAAUCAAGGUGGAUUUCAUGAGAGCGAUGAACGGUUUCUACAAGGGGGGGCAUGAGAGGUUUGGCCGCAAUCAAUAAGUCCCUUGUCUCACUUUUGCCCAAGAAGGAUGGGGCUUUGGAGGUGAGUGACUUUUGGCCUAUAAACCUUGUCCACGGGGCCAUUAAGAUCUUUGAAAAGGUUUUGGCUUGUCAGUUCGUGGAGGAUCUCCCCAAGUUGGUUGGGAACCACCAGAGCGUGUUUGUUAAAGGCAGAUCGCUGCAUGACAACUUCAUACUUGUGCAGAGCAUGGCACGCCGUUUGCAUGCUUUGAGGAGUUCAAGUGUGCUGCUAAAGCUAGAUAUAUCUAAAGCAUUUGACUCCGUCCAGUAGCCUUUCCUUAUUGAGGUGUUGAAUCAAAUGGGCUUCGGACCAAGGUGGAGGUCUUGGAUAUGCGGGAUACUUGCAACAUCGACCACCAAGAUCAUGGUGAAUGGUGAGCAGGGAGACACAAUAUACAAUUGUAAAGGGCUGAGGCAGGGGGACCCGAUCUCUCCCAUGCUCUUCAUUCUAACAAUGGAGCCCCUUCAAAGGUUGUUCGAGGUGGCUAUGGCUAGAGGUGUGUUGUCACCCCUCACGCGUGUUGGCAUGAGGAAACGUCUCUCUAUCUUCGCUGAUGACGUGGUGCUAUUUAUCAAACCGAAUCCAAUGGACCUUGAGGUAUGCAAGUCUCUGUUUGAGAUCUUUGGGGAGGCAUCAGGGCUGAGAAUCAACAUGAGCAAAUCCGUGGCCCUACCUAUCAGGUGCUCCGAGGAGGAGAUUGCAAUGGCAUGCAAUGAGUUGCAAUGCCCCUUGGGAUCGUUUCUGAUCAAGUAUCUUGGGCUACCCCUAUCGCUCAAGAAGCAAACCGCAACGCAGCUGCAAUUUUUGGUGGACCACAUGGCAAAUCAGCUACCGAAAUGGAGGGCAGCUAUGAUGCCCAAGAGCGGGCGACUAACUCUUGUGCAGUCUGUCAUGUGUGCGAUGCCGAUUCAUGCGAUGAUGGCGUUGGACCUACCUGCAAAAACUAUAGCGGCAAUGAACAAGAUUUGCCGAGGUUUCUUAUGGUGCCGAAGAGCUGAGGCAAACGGUGGUAAUUGUGUUGUUGCAUGGGAUAUGGUAUGUACGCCGAAGUGGGCAGGUGGAUUGGGGUUGCCAAACCUAAGAUGGAUGAAUAUUGCCAUGCAAGCUCGCUGACCGUGGCUCACGAGGACCGAUGAGUCAAGACCCUGGAAGGAAUUCAAAAUCAAAGUCCCGGAAGAAGCACAAAUGCUAUGCCAAGCAACCAUGAGGAGCACUGUGCGGUCGGGACGAUCAACACGCUUCUGGGAAGACCGAUGGCUUCAUGGCCAAAGAAUACAGGAGUUGGUGCCGCGAGUCUAUGAUUUGGUGCACUCCCGAACUCGCAACCUGAGGAUGGUCAGUACGGCCAUGCAGGACGGCUCUUGGGCGAUGGACAUCAACCCCAACCUUGAACCGGAAACCUUGCAUCCGUUUCUAGCGCUAUGGCAACUGCUCAAUGGUUGGGAACUUUCUGCUGAGGAGCCGGAUGAGAUAGCAUGGUCGUGGGAGACAAAUGGGCAGUUCUCCGUGAAAUCGGCUUAUGCGGCAGCUUUUUGGGGCCGGGAGGUGACCCCAACAGCGGACCUGACAUGGAAAUCACGUGCUCCUAUGCAAUGCAGGUUUUUCACAUGGCUAGCCAUGAAGAACAGAUGCUGGCCCUCGGAUCGCCUAGCGCGCAGAGGCCUACCUCACCAAGCCGCAUGUCCUUUCUGUGAUCAAGAGGAGGAAACGAUCAACCAUGUUCUACUCACAUGUGUUUUUGCUCGCACAGUUUGGGCAGCGAUCUUCGUCGCGUUGGGGACGCCAAGUUGGAUUCCUACUGCCCAAGAAUCGCUGGUGGAGUGGGCCGUUGACAAGCGUGGUUCAAACAACGUCAGCACGAAGGACCUUCGCACCAUCUUCGCGCUUACUUGGUGGGAGUUGUGGAAGCAUAGGAUGCAGAUUGUGGUCUGCAUCGACGACAUCUGGAAGACGGAACAUGUGCUAGGUUCGUGGUUCGUGGAUGGCAGGUAUGGUUUCCUUCUGCGACGUCUUAGUCGCGGUGGGGUGCCAGAUCUGGAGUUCGAUGGCGUGUCCGGGGUGUUGUUCCGGUCUGAUUCGUUCAACGGUAAGGGCUUCACUUUUGGUGAGCCACCUUGGAGAUCCGAAAAGCUGCAUAUCAGCGAUGGAGCCGCGUCGAGCGCGGGUGAGGAUGUGAUCCAUCAUUCUUUUCUUCGGUGUGUGUUGUCGUGGUGCCAGAGGGAGGUGAAGGGCGUUGGUGUCAAGCUCAGAGAUAUUCUGCUAUCUUUUCAGUUUUGUCAUGUCGGUCCUUACGUGAUUUGUACUUUAAUCUUUAUGAUAUUAAUGAGACACGUAUUACCAUGCAAAAAAAAUAGGGCCGACCUGCUUAGACAGGAUGUUGAGUUGUGGAAUCAUACUUCUGGAUUUCUGAAACGCCUGCAAUUAAAUUUAUUUAUGCUCGAUUUACUGCUGGUGCAUGCCCAUUAUUUGUACCAUUUCCAUCAACUUAGAAGUUCAAUCUUUUUCGCACAAAAAAACGUAAAAUUUCAAUCUAAUAUGCAGAUAAAGACCUUGGUGUUUUUUUUUUCAGAAAAAAAGACCUUGGUAUUUAAAAUGUUUAUGCAAGACAAUGGUUCAACUUGCAAAGGGAUGUAGUUUAAAAAUUAAAAGUGUUUAUGCAUGCAUGCUGUAUGAUAUUACGAUGGACCAAGAUACAAUUUAAAUUUACGUUAAGAAGAACCAGAGACAGCCAGCCAUCCUCUUGGUUUUCUGCAGAUCUUCCAGCCGAGCUUAAUACUUGACCAAUUAUUACUUAGACACCAUGGCCACCAAGUGAGUCCGUCAGCAACCUUCUGAGCCUUGUCGCCGCCAUGGACGCAUCCAAG